UGUGUGUGUGUGUGUAUAUGUGUAUAUGUGUAUAUAUAUAUGUGUAUAUGUGUAUAUAUACAUGUAUAUACAUGUAUAUAUAUAUAUAUAUAUAUAGAGAGAGAGAGAGCAUCUCUAAGAUGCAUAUGACAGCAUUUUUUCCUCCGAAACAUUGAGGUAGUUCAGAUCUUGUUUUUCCUUUUGUUUGUUGCUUUUUCAUAGAUCUUCAAUUUUCUUCUGCAAUUAAAACACUCCAAAUGCUUACAGGAAUUUUGAGGAUAUGUAUGAUGCCGAUAAUUUCACUGCAAGCUUGACUGGAGUUAUAGAAGUUGUCAGAGAGCUUCCUGCUGAAGUAACUACUGAAAAUCCCGCUGUCAUCAGAGUCCCCAAUAGGGUAUCAGAGGACUUCAUUAAGAACAAUAUUCAACCAGUCUUCCAAACAAAAAGUUACCUGAGACUUGCAACCUUCUUCCCUUCAAUCAAUUUGAAAGCAUCGGGAAAGCCUAAUACCGACUUGGAUUCAACUGCUUGCUUAGCUAUGUUUGGAAGCCUUGUAAUGAAACAGGAAAUUUUGGAAGUGGUUGACCGGAUGGUUGAGAGACUGAAAACUAUUAGUCGCAAUACAGGAAGCCAGUUUAUUGCAGUCGACAUAAGGGUUGAUGUGCUAGAGAAAAAGAGCUGCAGAGAGAAAAGCAAUGGAAGAAAACCUUGUUACACUGCAGUGGAGAUCAGAGAUUUCUUAAGAAAAGUCGGGUUUAAUGCAGAUAACACGAUUUACCUAACUGAGACCUGGUGGCAUGAAAGUCUAAACCCAUUGAAGGAGGUCUUUCCGAAAACUUAUACUAAGGUAAGUUCCACUGAUUGCUUAACUCUAUGUUUCCAAGAACUUUAUGUUUGUGGUAUAGCAUUUAUGGUUGAUACAUAGGUUACGAUUGCACCAGUAUGUGCCGUGAGCAUUAGUGCAUGAACACUUAGUUAUGACUCAGAGAAAUUCUGUGUGCUUUCAAGCUUAACCAUCAGUGCAUCAUCCUUGACAUUUACAGUUAACUAUUUUGAUAGGCAAAAAUUUGGUUUACAUAUAAUUUUUCAUGUGUCUCAGAUAUUAUGUUUGCGGAAACAGUCAAAAAGUACAAAUUUGUUAAGGGAAGGUUUAGUUUAGCCUCUUGUUGCUUGUCUUUUGAUUGUGAUUAAUUCUAGGACACUCACCAUUUUGAUGAUACAUAAUCUUGAUAUUUUGUAAUUUGAUCAUGAAAUCUGCAUCUUUGGUUCCUCAGAAGCAUAUACUGUGCAUUCUGCCUCCGGCUCAAAGUUCAUUAGUUGAGCUAAAACUUAGAUCUAAAGAUUUACAUUCUGCUUUCGUUUUGUUGCAGGAUGAUCUGAUACCUGCAGAGAAGAAAGGUCACUUCCUCCAGUCUGGAGGCGCCGAGCUGCAGAGAGCACUCGACUUCCAAAUCUGUUCCAAAAGCGAUGUCUUUGUGCCUGCGAUAUCUGGUUUAUUCUACGGAAAUGUAGCUGGCAAGAGAAUCACUUUGGGUCGGACCCAAAUCCUCGUCCCAUCCCAAGUUCCUAGCUCCUCUCCUACAGCUUCCAAUUUCUUCUCGCCUUAUGUCUCCAAGAGGAAUCACGUUGCCUACUCAUGCUUCUGUUAGUUAUAUGAAGAAUGAACUGUAGCAGGGCAGCAGAGAGCCUCAUUCCUGUUGUUGGAGUCUGCUACUUAGCUUUCAUCUUUGCAAUGUGUACUUGGUUUCAAAAUGAUCAUAUGAAGUUGAACAAGUUGACUGUGUGCCGGGUACAUUUUAUAUAGGGCUGAAUUUUUACUAUCCAUAUGAGUUUUAUAAUGUACGAACAUGAAAAUUCAAAUCAUUGGAUGAAGAUGUUUGAGUCCUCAAUCUCUGGUAAAUGAAAAUUCAUACCAUCUUUUUAAGGUAUAAAUUCUAAAAUUAAUGUGAUGUAUUAUUUAUAUGCAUAAAAUGUGUUGAUCCUUUUGAUGUGUCUAUAUUACAUAAUGUCACGGACUUAGUUGGAAUUGCUUAAGCCGUGAAAUACCUUUGCGCCAACUUUUUGGAUUUAGUUGGGAUUGCUUAAGUCAUGACGUGCUCUUGCGUUAUGCAUUCGUAAAGGGUCAACCAGUUUGCAACCUCACUCAAGUCCCGAAGGACCUGUAAAAGAGAAAGUUGAUUAGUUAGAAAAACGAACAGCGGACAAGUCCUGAUGUCUUGUGAAAAGGGGAAGCUUUACAAGCAAUUCAACAAGCACCUUAAGUGCAAAAGAGAAAAGAGAAGAAAGAUAAAAGGACUUUAGAAGGUAGAACAAAUAGUUGCAAGUCCACAAACAACUGCUCAUCGGGUGCCGGGCGCGAAGGCAAGUUCUUGUCAAGUUAACGUGCGAACUUGUGAAGAUUUUUCAAUGCCCGAUAAUAUACCGAAGCCCCAUCCAACCCUGUGUCACUCGGGGGGUUCUAGGGUGCUGAGAUGGCUAACGUUUUGGGUGCUGUAGUGAGCUGCAGAAAACAGCCCGCAGCAUGUGAAAACGAAGCCAUUUUGGAGCUUUUUGGCCCAACGCGAUGAGCGGUCGCACUGUAACGCUGCAACCUGUUCGAACAUGUAUUUUUACAAACAAAAACAUACAAAACUAAAGCAAAAUAGACUGUCAUGUUUAUGUACAAGCAUGCAAAACGAAGUUGUUACGAGUGCGCGAUGACCGUUCGUGACAAUAAGGUAAUCAAUCACAUAGAAUAGGAUCUCGACAUUAACUAGUUUGGAUUACAGGCAUAUAAAAAUAUAAAAUAUUUGAAAUAUUACUGAUCAAUUUAAUAGUUUUCUAUUCAAUAUUAACAUCAAUUAAAAUUUCAUAUGGAGAAUUAAAUUUAAAUUUAAAGAUUGAAAGUAAUCAAUAUGAGAUUUCCGAGGGACGUAUUUGCAAUUUUUUGCAGAAUGGCUACUUAUAAGCUCAACUCUUCGUCUGAUGAAAACUCUCUUCGGCUCCCCCUCUUCGUUCGUCUCUUUCCCUUCCAUUCCAUCCCAUGGCCAUCGUAGUGGCAAAGAUCGGUGCCGUUUUGUCGGCCAAAACCCUAGCGCUUGAGCGCUUCCUCUCCUCGCCCUCCUAUUCUUCCUCGACCCGUGGCGUUGGCCUCAGGGUCGCCUGCAGAUCUUCGCCUUCUCCUUCCACGGAGACCAGGAUCUCACGGGCUCAGCGGCGCAUGGUCGAGGCGUUCAAUCCCGAUAUUCCCCUCGCCGAAGCCAUCACGCCCCCCAGCUCGUGGUGCACCGAUCCGUCUUUCCUCGCCCUCGAGUUCGACCGCGUCUUCUUCCGGGGAUGGCAGGCCGUCGGUAAUUCCUCCUCCUUGAAUCUAGAAAAAACCCUUCUUGUCUAUUGCUCGAUUGAACAUAACUACGUAAAGAGGGGAAGGAAUUUAUCACAAUUUGUCGCCAUGUUAAUGAUAUCUGAUCAUCUUUAUGGUGAUUUAGGGUGUGAUACGCCGUGAUCAUUGGAAAAAGAUUUUUGUUAUGUGUGUUCCUUAUCGUUGUUAGGGUUUAUAUUGAUUGAAUAUGGCUCUUCUCUUAUUGUAUAGUCGUCCUGUAAUCUUUGAUUCGGAAGAGCUGGAAUUUUUAUCUGCAGAUUGUAUUCAGUAGUUGCUGAGUUUCUUUAACUUAAUGAUAUGUAGGUUACACUGAACAGAUUGAGCAGCCUCGUGAUUUCUUCACAGGAAGGUAGUACCUUUCUUUUUAACCAAACUUAUGUGUUUUGGUAAGUUAAGUAAUUUGUGUUUGGUGCUUGUUCUUGUGGCUAAUGUGGAUGUGGUGGAAACUAAACUCCAGUGCUAGUUCGAAAAUAGCUUUUAGAUUGAAUCCAUGAAUUCUUGAAAAGUAAUAUACAGUCCUGGAAACUAGCUCUGAAGAAGCCUUGCCACAUCUCUGCAUCAUUUUUAGUUACUGAAUUUCUGUAGCUCAGAGGAAAAGUCUGCCUUUUUGUCAUACUUAUAAAACUGAAUUCAUUUGACUUUGUGUCAAAUUGGCAGUUGAAUUUUGAAGAUAUCAUGAGAAAACAUAAUAUGAAACCUGGACAUACAUGCACCCUAAGUUGUUCUGUUAGUAGAGACUUUAUAUAUGUGGUAGGAUUCAUUAUUGAUCUAUUACCUAAAUUGACUAAUAGAACACAGAUCCAUGUGUAAGGGCACAAGGUUAACUUUUCAAGAAAUCAUAAGAAGCAUGAGACCCCUUUAACAGUAAUUAGGAAUGGACUUAGUCACGUACUUAGUUAUAAAGCUCUUUCUCUAUGCAACAUCAGACCUUAUUCUUUUUGAAAUCCUAAAUUAGUAUGAUAUUUUAGGACGGACACCUUGUUUAACUAAUUCAGAAUUUCAAAUUGUACAUGACAUAACUGAUCUGUUUGCUUGUGCACACUGUUUCUAAUUACAGACUGGGAAAUGUUGAAUUUAUUGUUUGCCGAGAUACUAAUGGAACUCUUCGUGCUUUUCACAACGUGUGCCGCCACCAUGCUUCUCUAGUUGCCUCUGGAAGUGGGCAGAAGUCAUGCUUUGUGUGCCCUUAUCAUGUGAGUUUCUAGAAGUGAAAUCAUAUCUAAAAAACAUUUAAGGACAUAUCUAGGCAUGUGCACAAACUCUCGUGUUCUCAUAAAUUUACAUGAUUAAUAUGAAUCAUCUUAUAUCAUUUGUGUAUCAUGACAUCUAGGUCUUCUAAUAUCUUAUUUCUUUAGGGGUGGACCUAUGGUCUAGAUGGCACCCUAUUGAAGGCUACUCGAAUUACAGGAAUCAAGAACUUAAAAAAGGAUGUAUGUUUUGUACAGAUGUGUUCCAUUUUUUUCUAUGAGUUCUUUCCAUGAUGUAGAGGUGAAGUGGAUCUUUGCUCUUGGGGAGCAGGAAUUUGGUCUUAUACCAUUGGCUGUGGCUACUUGGGGACCUUUUGUACUCAUCAGAUUCGACAGGCAUCCUGUUCCUCAGCAAAAUUGUUGUACUAAGACAGUGGAAAAUGAAUGGCUUGGGAGUGCUUCAAAUAUCCUGAGCACGAAUGGGAUCGACUCUUCAUUGAAACAUGUUUGUAGGCGUGAAUAUACUGUCCAAUGUAAUUGGAAGGUAUGAUGUAGCAAUGCCUAACUUCAUUGGCAGUUAGCAUUUCAUUUGUUGGUAACUAGGCUUUAGCAUUGACAAGAAAAAGUAGAUGACGUCAUGCAUAAUAUAUCUAUUGUUUUCUCAUCAAUUUUGCCAUUCAUCCAGGUUUUCUGUGACAACUACUUGGAUGGUGGAUAUCAUGUUCCUUAUGCUCAUGGAGAUCUUGCAUCUGGUCUUAAUCUUGACUCAUAUUCAACCCUUGUAUGGUAACUCCUAAGUAUGACUAUUCAUUUUUAGAUCUUCCAUAUCCUUUGUUGUUCUCAUAAUACAAUCUCAAACUUGGCAUUUGUAAUAAUCGGAGCAGUAGUCUUUGUAGUUCUUUAUUGUUUCUUGAACCUGUACAUGCUGAAGUAGACACAUGAAACUUUGGACAUGAUUCAACUAACUCCUAUAAGAGCUUUUACUUAUUCUACUUUGAUGUUUCAUCUAUUUUUUCCCUUUUCCCGAUACCGAUGUACAACCAGAUUUAAUCUUAGCUUUGCAUGCAUCUAUGUCAACUCUUUAUGGAACUGAUUUAAACUAUAUUACUAAUUUAGUCCCUUUUAUUAUUCUGAAUCUGUAUAGGAAAUAAAUAAAAGCAACAAGAUUUUGUAUGUUACUCUCAUUUUGAGCUCUUAACUGUGCUUUGCAGAUAUUUGAGAAAGUGAGCAUUCAAAGAUGUGAAGGUGGGCCAACGGAUAAAGAUGGAUUUGAUCGGCUAGGCUCAAAAGCAUUAUAUGCUUUUGUUUAUCCUAACUUCAUGAUCAACAGGUCUGUUGGAACUUAUUCAGCUUCUUUGAAUAGAAAACACAGGAUUAUGGUUUUUAGCAGCUCUUGUGCUUUUAUGUCAAGUGAUAUUUGAUUAUUGGGUAUAUGUAAUGCAGGUAUGGUCCAUGGAUGGACACUAACUUAGUUGUUCCAGUGACCACAACCAAAUGUCAAGUGAUAUUUGAUUAUUUUCUUGAUGUGUCCCUUGUGGUGAGUACCUUAAUGCUUGUUUUGCUCGUUAGAAAUUCAUUAACGAUCAUCCUAGAAAGUGCAAUUCCAACUUCUGAUAGCCUUUCAUGCUGCUGUGGAGCAUAUUUGUCAUAUCUGUCAUUAUCUGUCACAGAAUUAAGGGUCAUUCAGGAUGAGUCAUCUGAAAAUUUUGGAGUUAUUGUGAUUGAUGAGUGUGGCCCAAUUUCCUCGACUCAGAUCAAUACAUGACUUGAUCCUUAGUCACCUAAAUUGCAAAGGAGCAACUUUAUCAUUGACCUUACUGGGGCUAUAACCUAGCUAAACUGGUAGAAAGAUCUGUGUGAAAAAAUUUCUUCUUGUUGGCCAAUAGCUUCAUCUUUCUAUGGACUUUCAAACUCAUUAAAAUAACUGCAUCCGGUCCAUACUUGCACCAUGGAUUUAUUGCUGGAUCUCUAUGUGACAAGAUUUGCCUAUUGAUUUAAGUGCUGAAAUAUUUCCAAUUUCUGUUUAACAUGGUUGCACUAAAAGUUUCAGUUUAGAUAGCUCAUGAAAGUGCAGGUAUUGGACUUCAAGCUCCUUUCUUUUACCCUAAUAUUCUUCAGAGAUUCAAAAAUUUGGAAGGCAUUAUCUUGUUCCCGACAACAUUUUGGUAUAUUGGUUGUUUUGGAACAUCAGUAAGGCAAAACUAAUGCUGAAGGAUAAAAUUCAGCAUCAGUAUAUUUAAGUGCUUCAUUUGUCUACCAUGGUUUCUAGGGUUCUAGAAUAUCACAACUUGGUUCUUGUUUGAUCCAUUCGAUAUAUCAGCUUUACUAAGCUCUCUCGUAUGAAAUGCUCCAGGAUGACAAGGUGUUCAUCGAGAGAAGUUUAGAAGAGAGUGAGAGAGUGCAGGUGCGUCAUCACUUCUUCCUCAGCCUUGUUGCAUAUUAAAAUUGAAUGAACAGAUUGAGGUCAUCAACACAAGCUUCCAAAUUGGAGUGCAGUUACAAGACAUCGUACUAUGUGAAGGGGUUCAGCGAGGCCUGGAAUCGCCAGCUUACUGCAGCGGAAGAUAUGCGCCAACGGUUGAGAUGGCCAUGCAUCACUUCCACUGUCGGCUGCAUGAGUGCCUUGGUAACAUCUAAUGUGUUACUGCUUGCUUCUCCUUCAUAGAACAUAUGAACCUUAGCAUCGCAACUUGAAUUUGUUGGAUUCCUAGCAAAUUUAUUUGCAAUGCUAAAAUAUAUAGACUUCAUUUUGGUAAUAUUGAUACCAAGCAUAGUCGAAUAACUUGUCGAGCCAACUCGAAGGCUCAAGUUGUGAUAUACAACCAACAACAGAAAUUAUAGAAUAUAUAUUAAGUCUCCAAAUUAUUGUGCAAAUCUCAGUAAACAUGACGUAUGUCAUUCAUCAUCAUCAUCGACAGCAGAAUAUCUAUUUACACUCCGGAUGUCGAACAAUUCGUCUGUGUUCAGCUAAAAAAAAUGAGCGGCAAGCAAAAGGAAGGAACGACCGACAAACUUCAACGGGAGAUGAAAAAUGUGUACCUUUAAUCAUGGGCUUCUCAUACGUCUGAUGCAGAGAGAUGUUCAAGCGUAGAAGGUGGUGGCAGUGGAAGAAGCUCGAUGGGAGACCAAGCGACGGCGGCAGAGGGUGCAGAUGAACUUCCGCUUGGUCCUGAAGCAGAGGGGGAGGAAGCAGAAGCUGCAGGCGCUCUCCACGUCGGUGGCCACGACCUUUCCGCCGAUAACUCCGCAGCACUCGCUGCUGCUCCACGUCGCACAGCAACACCAGGCACCUCUCUCUCUCUCUCUCUCUCUUUCUCUCUCCCUCUUGCGCGCGCGUGUUUCAGUGCAGUCGCGGAGAUCUAUGGUGAAUUUUUGGAAAAGGCCUUUGACUCUCAGUUUUUUUCUAAAGCAUUCUUAUUUUAAAAAUAUCUAAAUAGCACAUCUAUUUUAUAAAAUCUAAAUAGCACAUCCAAGGGUUUAGGGUUUUCGGUUUUUGCGUUGAGUUCUUGUGUUGGUACUGUUCCAUUCAAUAAAAAAUAAAUAUUAUCUUUGAAUCUAUUUUAUAAAAAAAUAAUAUUAUCAUAAUAUCCUUGAAAAUUUGAUUGGGUUUACACAGGGUUAAUCGAAAAAAAAAGUUUUACUUGAAUCGAUUCACAUUUACCAAUCGAUGUGAACGGUGGUGUACAACAUUGUAUCUUUGACCUUUUCAUAUUCUAUAGAUGUCUUCAACUUUCACCUAUUCUGUAGUCAUCAAGUAGCGUUGAGUUCCUACAUCGAAAGGUUUAGGGUUUUCGGCAGUUACCAAAGUACGUUGAGUUCUUGUGUCGACACUAUUCCACUGUAUUCUGUCGCCACUAUAAUGAGACUUCUAGGGUUCUAGCAUUUUAUUUUUGUGUCGAGUUCCAUAUUCUCAACUACAAUGGUUCCAGCUUGUUGGCUUCUAGGGUUUCAUCGUUUGUGACAGCUUUUGCCUCAUUUCUAUAAUAUUUUGAAGCUAGGUCAUAUGAACAUUGUGAACAUUUGAUGUUUAUCGAUCAAUGUGAAGGGAGGGUUAUGGGUUUUUACUAUCAAGAUUUUGAACAUUGUUUAUUAAAAAAAUUUAAACAGUGCACUUCUAUAUCAAAUUUUAUAAUUUUGAGUAUUUUUUAAUCAAUUUUUCAACUGAGUAGUCUUUCAUUUUCUUAUUUCUCCUUAUAUUCAAAUUAUAUCAAAAUAUAAUGCAUCCAUAUAACAGGUCCACAAUAUAUGAAAAAAAAUUGUCCAUAAAAAUUUUUCCUAAUACUCAAUACCUUAUUUUUGGAUAAAAUAAAAAAAUAAUAUAUUGAUUAGAAGGACUAUUAAAAAUGAUUAGAAUUUUUUAAUAUGGCACAGUUGGACAUACAUCACUGUUUUUCUAUUUUAGAGAUAUUUUUUGAUAUUUUUAUGAAUUUUCCAGCAUUUAAACAAUAUAUCAUUUUAUAAUUUUUCUCCUUAUUUUUUUUAUUUUUACAAAAAUAUAAUAUAUCAAUAUAAUAUUUCUUGACAUUUGAGCUUCUAAAUAGGUCCAAAAAUAUUUUUUAAAAUGCGAUGUAUUAUUUUUUAAAAAAAUACAAACAAUGCAUAUUAUAGAAAUACUAUUCAAAAUGACAUGAAGCUUUUAGAAAAGCUUUGAAAAUGAUAGAGCAAGACAUGUGUCAUUGUUUUUUCCAUUUUAGAGAAUUUUUAUUCUUGUUAUGAAUUUUUUAGAAUCUGAAUAGUAUUUUUUAUUUUCUCCUUUUUUAAUUUCUAUCAAAAUAUAAUGCAUCAAUGUAAUAUUUUUUUGAUAUUUGAACUUCUAAAUAUGGCCACAAUAUAUGGAGAAAAUUUAAUCUAUAAAAAAAAUUUCUAAUAUGCAAUGUAAUAUUUUUGGAAAAAUUUUAAAUAAUAGUGUGUCACUUAGUAGGACUAUUCAAAAUGAUCUAAAUUUUUAAAAUGCAUUGAAUACAACAUACAUGUGCAUAUGUCAUUAUUUUUCAUUUUAAAGAAAUUUUUGAUAUUUUUUGUGAAAUUUUAAAUUUGUAAAUAGUAUUUCAUUUUUUAUUUUCUUUUUUAAAUUUCUAUCAAAAUAUAAUGCAUCCAUUUAAUAUUCUUUAACAUUUGAGCUUCUAAAUACAACCAUAAUAUAUAGAGAGAUUUUGAUCUAAAUAGAUAUUUAAUAUGUGAUGCACUAUUUUUGGAGAAAAUUUAAAAAUAGUACAUCACAUGCAAGAAUUGUUCCAAAUGAUAUGAAAUUUUAAGAAAAAUUUGAAUAUGACACAAUGACAUAUGCCACUAUUUUUUUAUUUUAGAUAAUUUUUUGAUAUUUUUACAUUUUUUUAGCAUCUAAAUAGGGUUUUAUUAUUUUAUUUUCUAUUUUUAAAUUUCUAUCAAAAUAUAAUGGGUUCAUGUAAUAUUUUUUAAUAUUUGAGCUUCUAAAUAGGUUCACAAUAUAUGAAAAUUUUCCUAAUAUGCAAUGUAACAUUUUUGGGAAAAAGUUAAAAAUAAUAUGUCGCAUUGUUUCAAAUGACCUAUUUUUUUAAGAAAAGUUUUAAACACAACACUGAUGGACAUAUGUCACUUUUUUUUAUUUCAUAGAAUUUUUUGAUAUUUUUAUAAAUUAUUUAGCAUCUAAACAAUAUUUCAAUUUAUUGUUUUCUCUUUGUUUUUAAAUUCUACUAAAAUAUAAUUCAUCCAUACUUUCUAACAUUUGAGCUUCUAAAUAGGUCCAUAAUAUAUAGAUAAAAUUUGGUCUAAAAAAUAUUUUUUAAUAUGUGAUGCACUUCUAAAUAGGUACAUUGCAUAGAAGGACUCUUUAAAAAAAUAACCUAAAUUUUUUUACUAAACUUUGAAUACAACCUAGAUGAACAUAUGUCACUAUUUUUUAAUUUAUAGGAAUUUUUUUUGAUAAUUUUCAAAUUCUUUUAGCAUCUAAAUAGUUUUUUUUUAUGUUUUUAUUUUUUUCUAAUUUAUACCAAAAUAUAAUGCAUCCACAUUUGAGCUUCUAAAUAGAUCCAUAAUAUAUGGAGAAAAUUUGAUCAAAAAAAAAAUAUCCAAAUAUGUGAUGCACUAUUUUUUGAGAAUUCAAAAAUAAUGCAUCGAAUAGAAGAACUCUUCAAAAAAUAGUGAAUAUGAUCUAGUUGGACAUAUGUCACUAUUUUUCCAUUUUAGAGAAACCUUUUACUAAUUUUUUGAUUUUUCAGCAUUUGAAUAGUGUGCCAUUUUCCCAUUUUCUUCUUAUUUUUUAUUUGCAUAAUUAUUGAUUAAAUUAUCAACUCUAAUCUCUUUGGCUUUAAACAAGAAUUAAUCAUAUCACCAAGUUCUUAUUAUACACGUAGAAAUUCCAAAGCCAACUGCAAGAAUGUCAAUUUAUACAUAAGUAUAUUUUUGUUUAAUUUUUUAUUAUUAGUUUUUUUAAUUAUCAUUGAUAAUUUUUUUUAAUUUUAUCUAUGUAGUUACAUAUAUUGGUAAUCGUGGAUCAGGUCAUUUCAACGAUGAAGAGAGAUAAAAAGUCCUUCUAAUUAGAUAGUUUUAAGAUGAAACUUUGUGGAUCAUUUUUGUCACUUCCUUAUAGCAUCCGCUAUGCUUAAUUGAGUAAAAUUGAUCUCAUUAUAACAAAAAUUGUCAUUUAGGUAUUAUAAGGAGUACUUUUAUUUGACCAUUUCUUAGAUAUCCGUGAUAUUAUCAUAUCUUAUGGAUUAAUAUUGAUAAUUAUAAAAUGAUGGUAUAAGUUUCUAGUGAAUGUAGUGGAAUUAUCAUUUUUGGUAUUGGAUAUAUCUUUUCUUCUUAAUCCAUCAAAUACUAAAAAAAUUAUUGAUAUAAAGUCAUCUGGAUUUUCUAGGUAUCUUAAAAAAUAUUUUUACAAUCGAAGUAUCAAUCGCAGCGAUUUAGAAAAGUACAUGAUAGAUCAGUUAUGAAUUUUUGUCAUUGUAUGUGCUAUAUAUAUUUGCAUGUAUAUAAUUUUGUCAAGGCAACUACAUAUUACAAUGGUCAUUAGUUAAUAGUUUGAAAAUUUUUAAUAAGUAUAAUUGAGUAUUUGUAGUUCAUUCAUUAUUUUUUAGAUGAUUUUACGAGUGAGAGAGAGAAUAUGAAAUUUUAAGUGAAACUAGUGUUCAUCUAUAAGUAUUUGAAGGGUUAGCUACCUAUAUUAUAGAUAAAUUAUUAUACCCUAUUUUUUAUAUAAUAUAAUUUGAUCCUAAUAGGUAUUUGAUGUUUGAUAUGGGUAGUUUUGUGAACACGUCUCGAAGUAUAAUCUCUAAGAUUAUGGAAAUGAUCUAUUCUUAUAUUACAUUGAAAAAUAAUUAAUAAAUUGAUAUCUACAAUAUCAUAUGACAAAAGUAUGUUCUAAAUUUAGAUUUGUAAUUGUACCUUCUUUUGGAAAAUUAUCAUAAUGAUCAUUUUUUGCUAUUCAUAUAUUAUUAGAAAGCUAAGUCCUUUACGAUAUGAGGUAUGGUUAAAUUCAUACGAUUAACCACCUGAUGAGGUACUAAAUGCUAAGGUACCAUUUGCUGAAAUAUGUUUCUCCAAUCAACCAUACCAAUUGUAGUUUUCUUUAAUAUAACUAGGUAAUGAAUUAGUUUAUCAUUCUAAACUUAUGACACCUUCGAUACAUAUAUAUUGAUAAUGUCUCAACAGAGUAAUCCAAGCCACAUGAAUCCCAACAAUCACAAUGCAGAAACUAUGUUAUAUGUAUUGACAUGCUUAGAACUUUCAUGUUCUUUGUGCAGCAAUAUGGCUGGGGUUAUGCGGUCAUUAAAAUGUUACCCAAGGAAUUAAAAAAAUAUGUGUACCAAUUGAUAAGGUAUGUUUUGGGUCAAGACACAUCACAACCGAUGCCACGCCAUGCUACAGCCGAGUCAGUAAGGGGAGCACCCCCACGCGUCAAGUCAGAACUCAUACCAAGGCGUUGUUUGGUAUGUCCUGUCCCGGAAGCUCGGGACGGCGCCAUCUGGCAUCGUUCCGCACGUCCCAGGACGGUGGCCGCACAAAAGUGUCCUCUCAUCCCUCGAGGAUCGGUCGCCACGCUAAACCCGCAUACGAUCAACCCUCGUACAAUAAUAUAAAAGCCCUCGGUCGGCAUCCGACUAGAGAGAGAGAGAGAGAGAGAAAAAAAAAAAAGAAAAAAAUAACUAUUGACUUGCUCGUCGGAGGGGCCAAAGUCGGGAAUCACCCGACAAAGGCCAUUUUUGCAGGAAAGUGAUCACCCUCGAGCCGCGAGCGUCUCAACAUGGGAAUUGUCAUCUAGUGUACGAAGGCGAGUUGCUGACCAGCUUGGAGACGAAGAGACGCUGCUCAACACAGACGACACCCAGACCGAGGAAUGUUGAUUAACACCCCGUCGCGAGGGCCCGGCCUACCUCGACAUCUAGCUUAGCCGAUAGAAGACUCCCGACAUCGACCUGUGGACCAAGUCAUGCUAACUCAUCAGUCACAACAUAUUUGUUCACUAACACCAAUGAUAUGAAUACAUGGUUUACAAAUACAUCGACCAAGUCAUGCAAUCCCUAUGAAAUGGGAGUCAGAAAAAGAGACAGAAGAGGAGUUGCUGUAAAAAGAAGAUAAUGAAGAACAUAACCAAGUAUAUCUAUUGUGUACCUAAAAAAUUAGAAAAGAAUAAGGAGAAAUUAGAAAAGAAUAAGGAGAUGGACCGAACAUUAUUUUUCUUCUCCAUAGUAGAGGCCCAAGUAAAGCCCAAACCUCCAAGACAAUAUUGACUAUGAGAAGGAGAUGUCUAUGUAACUUUUUAAUAGUUUUUAUAAGAUACCAAAUAAACUUAGAAAGAGGAUAUCUGAACUAAUUUUAUUGAUCUUAUAGAGAAGGCGAUAAUAAUCUUAUGUAAGCUAAAGUCGUUAUGUGAGUUAUAAAAUAUUAUUUUAUUAAGAGCUUGAUUAUAUGUAAUAAGUUUUUCAUUUGUUUCUUAAAUAUAAGGUAGCUAACCAAAAUAAUUGAUUUUUUAACGUUAUAGUUUAUCAAUCGAAAUAAUUUGGAAGGAUGAGGUAUGCCACCUCUGCUUUAUGAAGUUGAUAGAUUAUUUGUACAGUAUAGUAUAGUAGAUGAUGAUGUAAUAUAUACAUGUCAAUAUAUUCUAAUUAGAAAGACACAUGCGAUGUCAUCACUUGAAAAAUAUUAUGUGUGAUAUACAGUGUCAUAAUUUGAAAAAUCUUAUGUGUCAUCGAUAGCAACAUAUUUAGGAUUUGAUGUACAUAUGUAUUUAGUAUUCUUGAUAUUUUUUAUUUAGUAUAGAAUUUUUACACAGUCCAAAAAGACUCUUUGAAACACAAUCAACUAAAUAUAUUUUUAUGCCACUACAUAUUAAAAAAUUAGAGCAUUGACAUCUUUUGGUUGUUAAUCUAAGAAAAAAAUAUUUAAGAGCAUUAUAAUUCAAUGUCCAAUCUAAAAAGUAAUGUUAAAAUAUAUUAUAAAGCAGUAAGUGUUGAUUCCUUUUAAUGUUUUGUUUCGAUAAAUAAAUAUAAUAAAUAUUAUUUCCAAUAUUGUAGGUGAACACAUUGAGAAAUUUGAGUGACGUCAAUCUAGAAUUAUUGUAUCCUAGAAUCAUGUCAUUCAUUAAAUCAAAGGGAUGGAUCUAGAAAAAUAUAGUCCAUCUGAAGCAAAUUACAUCGAAAUUUACAAUGUUCAAAGACUCUGAAAUACCAUAAACAUUCCAUCGUUGAUUAACUAUAUAAUUUAUAACCUUUGUAUAUUCCAGGAAUGAUCGUGCUAUAAAGUUUAUCGAGCGUUUCUUUUUUGGAUUUCCUGUGUUAUUAUUCUCCCAGAAACAGAUGAGGGCAUAUCGAAUGCAAAUUGUAGGAGCAAUUAUGGAUGAUGAACAUUUUUGUGGAGAAUAUGCUUCUUAGUUCUAUAAAAGUCAGAUGUAUCUCUAAAAUCUUACAUAUGGCCUUGUAAAUGGUGUGCUAUAUUCAAUGCAAUUAAUGGUUCGAUUUUGUGGAGAAUAUGAUUUUCUAAAAGUUUUUUUAUAUUUGAAAAAUUGUACAUAUGACAACAGUUUUGUACAUGUAAAAAAGGGCAUCUGUUGUAUUGUAUACAUGAACAUUUUGUAUAACACAUUUUAUAAUUAUGCAAAUAGAAUUUUGGGAUACUACAUAGUAUUUCUCUAAUGUGUAUCCCAUUGUGUAUGACUAAAUGUUGUUGAAAACAGAGCAUUUUUUAAACUUCACCAAGUUUUUUCCUAGUUUCUAGUCAAAAUGAUCUGAAUUGUUUGAAAUAUUAUAGAGGAUUUCUCUAAUGUAUAUUUCAUUGUGUAUGACUAAAUGUGGAAAAUAGAGCAUUUUUCAAAACUUCUCUAACUUUUUUCCUAUUUUCCAGUGGAAAUGAUCUGAAAUUUUCAUGAAAGCAUUCAAUAAUAUUUUCCGGUGGAUAGAUAUAUGUACUUUUUCCAUUUUAGAGAAUUUAUUAUAUUUUUUGAAUUAUUCAGCAUUUGAAGAGUGUGUCAUUUUUCGAUGUAAUGUUUUUUGACAUUUGAGCUUCUAACUAUGUCUACAAUGUAUGAGAAAAAUUUAGUCUAGAAAUUUUUCUUUUUGGACCAAAUGACAUUGUUUUUCUAUUUUUCAGGAUUUAUUUGAUUUUUUCUGAAUUUUUCAGCAUCCGAAUAGUAUAUCAUUUUUUAUUUUUAACAAAUUAUAAUGUACUUUGAAUUUCUGAAAUUUUUUAACAAUUUUUUAGUAUAAAAUUUCUGAAAAUAGUUUGAAUGCAAUCCAUAUGAACAUAUGAAACUUGUUUUUUAUUUUACAGAAUUUAUUUAAAAAGUUUAGAAAAUUUUCCAACAUCUGAAUAGUAUUCCAUUUUCCUAUUGUUUUCAUUUUUUUUAUUUUCAACAAAUUAUAAUGCACUUGUCAUUUUUUUAUUCCUUUUGAACUUCUAAAUAAGUCCAUAAUAUAUGAAAAAGAAUUUCUAAUAUGCAGUGUAUUAUUUUUGAGAAAAAAUUAAAAAAAUCUAUAUCACAUAGAAGAACUAUUCUAUAUCAAUGAAAAAGGACUUGAAAUUUUUAGGAAGGCUUUGAAUACCACCUAGAUAAACAUAUGUCACUAUUUUUUUUUCUUAUUUUUAUUUGAUAUUUUUCUGCAUUUUCAGCAUCUAAGAAUUAUGUUAUUUUUCUACUUUUUUUUUUUUUUUUGAUUCUACCAAAAUAUAAUGUAUCCAUGCAAUGUUGUUUGACAUUUGAAUUUCUAAACAGAUACACAAUGAUAUUGGUUUUCUAUUUUACAGAAUUUAUUUGAUAUUUUAANNNNNNNNNNNNNNNNNNNNAUAUAUAUAUAUAUAUAUAUAUAUAUAUAUAUAUAUAUAUAUAUAUAUUGUACAAGAAUAUUAUUGGUGAAUGAAUGCACCAACAUAAUUUGAUGAUGAUAAUUAUAAUUAUUAUUACUAUAAUUAUGCAUCACGUUAUAAUAGCUUAUGUGUCAUAAUCUAGGCCAAUUCUAAUUUGACUUUACUAGCAAAAAUAAAUAUAUGUGUGUCAUGUUAAUCUUGAUUAUUUUUGUUAAAUACCUUAUCCUCUUCCUCCCCAAAUAAAUAUAAAGAAACUUAUCUUCUCUAUUAUUUCUAAGACAAAUAUGGACUCCGAGUUAAAAGAAAUUUUAAGCUGCUAUAAGAUCCAUAGGAGUAGAAUUGAAUGUCUCUUUCAUAAUUUGACAAAUUCAAUCCCAUUGUUCAAGAAAUGAUUAAGCAAAGAAGUUUUGCUGAAAAAUAGACAUUAUUAUAAAGUAUAAGGAAAUACUGGGAAAAUUGGUACUUUGUUGUAUUUUACUCAAAGGAACAAUUAUCAUUUUGAUUAUUUUUAAUUCUCGACAUCUCUUUUGUUUUCACUUGUGAAGUCUUUUCUUCUCUUUGGAUUGGUUUAAGCUUAAAUCAAAAAUAUGUAAUAGCCUCAAAUACUUGUUGUUCCAACAAUAAAAGUUAGCUACUUGAAUCUGACCUCAACCUGCACUACUUCCGAUCUCAGAUUUCAGUGGUCAUUGCAAAGCAUGGCUGGUGAUAGGGUGCUCAUAGCCCCUCCCCUCUCUUCUUCUUCAAUGCCUAACUCUUUCAGACACACAAUGGCAGAAUGGAGCACGCACGAGUGGUGGAGUAGAAUGAAUCUUAGGAGUUCAUUCCCGUCUGCAACACACCUUGGUUGCUUCUUCCCGAGCUUGUUGGCUUUCAUCUUUAUGGAAUGUCUCUAGUCUUCGAACCUUGUGACGGCCUUCUGGGUGUUGUGGACCUUCAGUAUCCUGUCUAUCUUGCAGACUGGAGAUUGAUUCUCGAGCCAACUUGACUGGAAAAUGAUUUCAAUUAUGGUUCUGCUUGUGUCUUCAGGACCCAAGUCGGAAAUUACUGCAGAGAACAGAAGAUUCAGAUGAGUAUAUCUUGUAAAUGAUAAUGAAGUAGCUGAAAACAUGACAAGUUUCUCAGAUUGAGAACCAGAAACCAAGUUGUUCAUGAUGAAGAUGGAUAAUUGCUUGCAUGGCUAAUUGCUUGGUGUCAGCCAUCACAUGACACUCAUGGCACCCAGAGAACUUCCUCAGGUGCAUUCCUUUGAAAGAUCCUCCCAGACAAGAAGAAGACGAUGUAACAGAGGCAGUGAUGGAAGCAGAUGAAUGAAGAGGUGAAGGAGGUGGAAAUAGCUCCACUAAUAUAUUUGGAAGGAGACCUGAAGGAUCUGCUUGGAGUAUUAAGUAAGACUGCCGGUCGCGGCCAGUCUCUUAGAAGACUCAGGUGUGGUGAUCUCUGGCUUGACAACACUUGGGCUGUUCCCCAUACAGAAAGACACACAGCAUGGAGUCUCGUUGGGUUUCUUCUUCCCUUGUACAUCAUUCUGAUCUUUACACGAAAGCCAACGUCUCCAGGAACCCCCAGGAGAGCGAGUUCUUGGCGUUCCUUUGACCUUGUCUCUUACUCUUGCUGCUUCUGUUGCACGCCCUACUUGCAUUACUUGUAUCUGCCAUCGGGAGUAGUGGUGAUCUUGCUUCCAAGUCUGCUUCUUGAGGCCUGGAGUGUCUUCUCCUUCCUCGGAUCAGAUGAAAUACUUGUGUGAUGUGUACAUAGCUACAUUAUUGCAGGCAUUGUGAAGGAAAGAAUACUAGAAUGUAGCAACCGAGACCUGGUUGGUGGUCGUCGGAGGAGACAACUAGGAAAUGGUGGCCAUCGGACAUAUACUCAUGUUAAGACACCUUUGUUGCACUUAUUCCUGCAAUUAGCAUGGCUACUGUAAGCUCAUCUUUGUCAAACAGUAGACUACUGUUCUUGACGAUGAAGGAUAAGGAAUCAGUAGCUUCCUUCAGGUGGGCUACCAUUCAUUCAUCAACCCAGUCAAGCCAGAUCAAAGAGACCACGAUCUGUCGUCUGACAAAAGCAGAUAGCUAAUAUGAAGAGAGUCAGAAAUCACAAGCUAUGUUACAACUUCAUUUCUUCUCUCUUUGCUGAUCUUGCAAUCUGAUUGAUGAUGAUGAAGAUGGAGAUGAAUGGCUUAUUUCUUGCUGCCAAAAGCCCUUCUCUAAUCGCGACAUCUUCAUUAUAUAAGAUAGAUCUAUCCAUGGAACUUCUGCAUCUUGCAAAAACAGUAAACCCCUCAUCAAUUCUUAGAAUAAAAAGCAUAUAUCACCGUCCUGCUCAUGAUGGCCAAAGCCAUCAGUAUUGAGCUUGUGUCAACCCUUCUCUGGUUUUCUCCGUGUCACUUACACACUUCUCUCAAAUCCAUUAGAACAUGUGGUGUGAUUAAAAUCUAUAAGGAUUCGGCAUCAUUUCGAGCUUUCCAUAUUACCCACAAAAAUAUUUGCAAUGGUGACUUUCUAAGAUCAAAAUUUUAUUAUGGGCCGUAUCAUUUAAUGACCUUCCAUAAUAACACUAACUGCUCUUGACAAAAUCUUGCGAGGAUUCGGCCUCAUCCCAUUGAAUUUAAAUUUAGCAUCAUUUUUAGCUCUCCAUAUUACCUGUAAAAUAUUUGUAAUGGUGGCUUUCAAGUUCAAACUAUUGGUAUGGGCUGUAUCAUUAAUCACUUCAUGGACUCUAACAAUGCCGGAGAAUUCUACUUGGGCUUCUCCUCCGGUGAUUAAAUCAGUGCAGAGCCCUUAAGAGAUAUGAUCUUCUUAUAUCAAAGAUGCAUUCGAGGAUCCCGAGCAUUGGACUAUUAAAUGAUAGAGUGCCUACACAACAUAUUUUGACAGAAAGCUCCGCUUUGCUGAAGUACUAUUGUAUGUGAUGAAAAGAAUAGAAGAUAAGAACAAUUACUGAAGAAAUUUUAUUGAAGAAGAAAAGAAACUUUAUUGAAGAAAUAAAAAUCUUUCAAUUCAUUAACAUGUUCCCUCUCAUAUUUAUACAGAUUAAAGAAAAGAUUUCCCUCAACAGAAUAGAAGAUUUUCCUCAAAGAGAGAUUUUCUCGAGAUACAUAUGCCUGUCGAGCCUCGUAACGCAGGCUUGUCACCCGAGCGAGGGAACGAAGGAGGUGGAAUGGUGUUAUUGUGUUUGACCUGGUUAGGUUCGACCCACCCAACCCCGACUUGCCCGUUCCGAGUCAGGCAAAUGAGCUCAGGCUGAUUUCACAGACUCAUCUAAUUUAAGUCUCUAGUUUCCAGUACAUCAUCGUCGCUCUAGGGAUAACAAGCAAAGACCAAAACACUUUGUCAACCUUCCCAGUAUUCCCCAGCCUGGUCAUCAGCAGAAAGAUAUCUGUAGGCAAUUUUAGAAGAGGCAUACCUUCUGGUAUCAUAUCUCCAUACCCAACAAUCACCAUGAGGAAUAAGAGGAAUCACAAUUUUAAUAAUAUGAUUUAUUCAGUUUAAAGAUAUUUCAUUCCAUGCCGUAAGAAUACAGAAAAAUUUUUAUAUUAAGAUUGAAAUCAAAUAAUAUUAGAUUGAUUUUACAAUAAGUACCUUUUGAUAUCAUCUGAAAAGAUCUCAAUGUGACAUACAAAAACAUCAUACUAAACUCUUCUUCUCAAGAAUAGAGAGUCUCUUUAUUACGUCUUCUAUGAGAUAUGUUCGUUUAAUUCCUCCGAUUAAAAUAUUCAUAAAAAAUUCUAUUAUAAUAUAAACUUCUUUUCUAUUAGGUAAUAUUUAUUAUCAAAAUUUAAUUAGUUAUAUAAUAUAUAUUAUUCAAUUAUAAAGAUAAAUUAAUUUUAUAUAUAAUGGAAUGUCAAAAACCUCAUUAUCCUCCCGCAAUGCCUAGCUUGCUUCAAGUAUCAUCCACAUUUAAAUUACAUAGAUUAAGUUCGUUCAAUGAAUUAGUGCUCGACUCAUAACAAUUUUUCUAACCAUAUUUUAAUAGGAUUUAAUUGGGUUCGAUCAAUGGAUUCUUUGUUAAAUUUAAACGGAUCGGGCAGGUGUAGUUGAAAUGACCCGACCCGUUUACUAACAUGGCAUCUCACCCAUCCACGACUGCCUCCUCCACACGUACGCGUGCCUACAAAAAAACCCUCGUCGCUGCGGUUCCUCUCUCGACGUUGAUUUGAUACGUCCGCCGGGCAGUGAGGCCGGAGACCGACGUCGCCGACUCUCCCACGCCGGUGGUCGCUUGCGGUGUAUUCCCGCCGCGGCCUUUCUUCUCCCUCCCGCUCGUUCGUGUGUUGUCCCGGUGAUCCGAUCGAUUACUGCAGCCUCUUCCGCCUCCUCCGGGUGCGUGUUCUUUCUGUUGGUUUCUUUCUUAUAUCUCUCGUAAAUAAACCAUCUUUUUCUGAUUUGAAAUGAAUUCGUGCUUUCGCCUUUUUGGAUCUGAGGUAGCUCGUGGUAAUCUUCCCUUUAAAACAAAUGAAAAGGAAAGAAAUUACGGCUCUUGUUUAUUUGGUAUUGUUCCCCUUAAAGAAGAUCGAUCAGAAACUUUCUAGUUCAUGUGAUCUAUUGGUUGUAAAUUAGCCCACAAAUUUGUGCUUGUAUGCACGAAUGACGUUGCGAAUCACCGACUCAUCUAAUUUAAGUCUCUUUUAUAUGUUUUUCCAUUUAUUUCUUCGUCCUAUUUCAAAUAUUUGAAGCAGUCGAUGGGCCCUCAAAUUGUUGCAAGUCUCCUACACUGCCCUAUGCGUGUUCUGUUGCUUUCAAUUCUAUUGCCAUGAUUCCUUCGGGCUAUUAUUUUAAUCCACUGACGCCAAGAUUCCACGGAAUCGAUGUGCAAGCGAUUGUUAACCUCAAUAUGUUUUUUGCACCUUGAUUGCUGCAUAUUUGACCUCAAUGUAUGCGUAGUUUGAUUGAUGCCUUUUACUCGCUUCGCCUUCGUAUAUCUCUUACUGAUCUUUUCUGAUCAGAAAAGAAUCACAGUUUUGUUUGUUUUAGGAAUUUUAUCCUGUCAACAAGAUGAUUUUGUUUGUAUCCUCUGUGUGCUUCCGAUCACAGAGCUGUAGAUCAGUCUUCAAUUGACCCAUUUUAAUUUUACCGCCAUGUAAACUUUGUCUUCAUGUGUCUGCAACCAUUUCAUGGUUUAGUUUUAUAUUAGUAUUUUAUGCUUCGGUUUCCCAUGUCAUUGUCUGAUGGCAUCACAUGAGUUCCACAGUCUGCAACAGUAACAAAUUCCAUUUCCUUCCACACUUCUUGUAUGGCUAUGACAACUAACAAAGUUUCCCUCCACACUUUUGGUGUGCUUUUUACCUUCCCACUAUGAUCUCCAACCGGAUGCCUCAACAUAUAUCUUUUUCUUUUGCAGCAAAAGAAGUGUUUUUGCAGGCUUGGAACAGGAGCAUAACAGGAUGCCUGGGUCAUCACAAAGGAAUGCUGUUAAUGAGAGUAACAGCCCGAUCGCAAGAUCACUUGGUAUCCGCCUGAGCUUAGAUUCACCUAGUCAAAGGAUUUUCUCGAGGACAGCAUCGUUGGGCAGGAUCGCUGGCACAAGUUACUGGCAUCUUGGAUCUAUCAGGCCCAACCUCAUAGUUGAAGGAAUUCCAACUGACACCACUAGACCAGCAGCAGCUGGUGACGAUCAAGCAGUCGGUGUUGAGAUGGCUGGAAAUGGUCUCAGACAAGGUUCACUAAGCAGAAUGAGUAGUAGGGAAUCUUGGCAGAGGUGUUCAAUUAGUUUUUCUAGUGAUCAUGGAACUAUUGAUAAUCUGGCACUUCCACAGGAACUAACAGAUAGGAUAGAUAGUUCACUUGCACAAGUAGGAUGCAGAGGGAGUCGACUGGAUGAUAAAGAACAUGAGGACGGAGUUGUGAAAUUUGCUGAUGAUUCUCUAAUACUAUCAUUUAAUUCCUGGUCAUAUGAAGCAAACUUGCCAUCAGUUGUGACUCCAUUAACUGAGGAAAUUGUGUCUCCUCUUCCAACUGAUUCCAUCUUGUCUGGAAAGGGAAAGAGUCAUAUGACAGGUAUUGCAUCACCAAAGGUGAGCUUCACAUAUGAUUAAAUUUUAAUUUAGAAGGAAGAAAAUUACUUUCUUGAUAUUGUAUGUUUUCUUGCAGGAUAAGCAAUACAAGCUUCCAUUUUGGCUGGACUAUAUUUCUUACUUGAGUCACUUGGCUGUCUUUGGAAUUCUUGGGGUAAAACUUUGAACUUCUUUUCCAAUGUCUACAAAGAGUGUAUAGCAGAGUUUAGUAACUGAGGCUAAGAUUUUGUUAUAGUUCCAUUAUCUACUAUAAUCCUUGUCUGCACUUAUUCUGUGAUUAUUGUAUCUCCUUUUUUUAUUAUUCCAUUAUUUGUUUAGUGAGAUUUCUUGGCUACAAAUACAUUAUUCAUUUCAAAAAAAUUUCUCUUUUUGUAGCAAUGAUUAAGCCAGUUGAGGACUGUAAAGAUUUAGCAUAUGAUAAAUCCUCGCUUUUUUUUUGUUAAAUUAGACUGAUAUUUUGUAGUUUGAAUAUAGAAAACAGUGCAAAAGAAUUUCUUUCUAACAAAGUUAAUGGGAACUAAAAUAGAAAAGAUUUGCAUAUGCUGUUCAAAUCCAAAUGAAAAAGAAAGAUACUGCAUCAAUCAUUCUAGAAAGGUUGUGCAAAGGAAUUGGCUGUCAUAUUUAUUGGUGAGAAAUUGUUAGGAUAAAGUAGUUUAUGCUUGAUGAGCUGUAGUAUCUCUAAAUCUCAGCAUGAACUUGUGUUUUUCUGUGCAACUUCCUUCCUAGACCAGUUUUCUUUGGUUGGAUUAAUCUAGGGGACUUCAUUAUUAAGUUAAUCUCCUCGGCCUGUAGUCAAUUUAUACGGAAGUGGAUUCACUUUUUUUAUUAUGGGAAAGGAAUUCCUUACGUUUGCUUGGACAUCAAGGACUCAUUUGGGAUAACAAGAUUCAAACUCAAAACAAUUACCCAGGAACCUCAAAAUGAAGAGCUUAGGAAACUAAGUUGACUUGUUAGAUUUUUUUUGGAUUCAGAAAAAAAAUACAAGAAUGUUUUGAGUUGAGAGAGAUGAUUAAAAACAUAUAUACAGAGCCAAAAGCAAUCCGUUGUGAUGAUAGAAGUGUGUGAUUCUGCAUUUGAAUUUUUCUCUAUUGCUAUAUCUGUCAAAAAAGAAAAACUUUAGACCUUCUAAAGAAAAUUUUGGCCAUUUAACUUUUCAAUUUUCUUGUUUCUUGAAGUUAUAUUUGAUUGUUAAACAAUGGAAAAGAAUAUUUGUCUGACUUCUUUCUCCUGUGGAUAAAAGUUAAACAUAUUUAUGAGCAUGUGAUACUUUUCUGGCAACAUUAGAAUAGGUGCUGUCUGAUGUGAUUUGAAAGGCGUCCGUGUCACAUAUUUUGUUCUUCUCUACAAUAGAUUGGUUUGACAGAUUUCACUUUUCUAAAUAACGAUUUCACAUAUUCCAUUUUUUUUAAUAAUUUGUUAAUCUUGUAAUAGCAUUGAAUGGAGUGAAACAAAAUUGGACUUUGCUACUAUCCACUAGAUGAUGAAAAAUAUUAUUAUGACACAGGAGUAAGCUUUUAGCAUUCUCUUAUCUCUUCUAUGUUCUCUUGUCCUGGACUGUUUAGAGUUACUAUAGUACCUAUUACUCCAUUUAAGAACCACAUAAUUACUGGGAGAAGAGAAAUGAUUAGUGUAAAGCUAGUCAGCAUUGAUCAUAUAUAAUAUAGCCAAAAUGAAUAAAUUAGGCCUCCUGUUCUUUUAACAAAUUAGGCUACUGAAGCAGCUCACUGGGAGUUAAUUAGUUAGAAUAUGCAUCCAAGUGUGCUACCAUGAUUGUUUAGGGGAAAACUUUCAUCCUGUUGCCACAGGAAUCACUUCUGUUAUCAGUUUUGAAGAAUGAUUGACAAUGUUAACAAACUGUAUCUAUCAAAAUAAGUACCUGCUUUCUUCUUUGUUUAAAUUUCUGUCAGUGCAACAAGAAUUAAGUGAAUGUCCCUUCAUCAUAUAGGUAUAUACAAGAUACUUACUGCAGAAGCUCUUUGGUCCUGACCUCUUGCGUCUCACAGGGGAUAGCCCGUUGUACCUUGAUCUUCCCUCCAAUAUGGUUUUUUCUCUUUUCUUUCUUCAUGUUUGAUAAAGUAAAGUUUGUUUCUCCGUUCACUGAUGCAAUUCAGAAUGUGCUUUCUAACAGAUAGGUUCCUUCCUGAUGGGGUGGAUUGGAUUUGUCUUCAAGGCUGACAUCCUUCACGUAUCUGAACAUUUGCUGGUAGGAUUAAGUACAGGGUACUUGGGCAGUCUCACCACACUCAGUGGAUGGAACCAGAAGAUGCUUGAGUCGUCUUCCAAGGGCCAUUGGGUGCAUACUGUUGCUGGCCUGAUACUUGGUAAGAUAACAUAGUUUGAAGACAGGUUAGCUUAUAAUUUGCGGAGGAUUUAUUGGUUGUCACUUGCUUGCACAGUUUUUUUUCUUAUCUUCCUACCCAUCUAUAGGGAUUUUCCUUGUCAACUAUAGUAUCAUUGUUGGGGUUGGAUGUGCUGGAGGACUCCGCAGAGGCAUUAUUGCUUGGUGUGACAAGAGAAAUACCAAUCUGGAAAAAUGGAGGGUGAAUAACCGCAAUAAACAUGUGGUUGUGAUGGCCGCUGUUCUACUGAUAUGGUGCUUGUUAUGGACUCUGAGUGGAGAAUUCUUUAGGGUUAAGUUGAACAGAGUCAGUAAUUCUGCUGUUCCUUGGCUAGCUUUCUUGGUGGGUCCCCCAGGUGUGUGGCUCCGAUGGCGCUUGGCUAGGCUUAAUGGACGAGGUAUAGGAAGCAAGCGAAUGCUCAAAUGGCUACCAAUUGGAACUCUGUUGGCCAAUGUACUUGCAGCAACCAUUUCGGCUGCAGCUGCUAUUAUAAGCAAAGCGGUAAGCAUCCGGUGCAAAAUUCAUGGUCAAUCUUGAACUUAUAUUUUGCUGUUCUUCACUAAUAUUACUUUGAACUGACAAUUUAGAAACAAAUUGCACCUGCUAGAGGGGAGUUGCUUCCUGCAAGUUUUUUUUAUAUUGUCAUAAUUUAGGGUCUGAUAGAUCCCCACACAAUGGCAAGGAACACUCACACAAAAUCACAGAUCUGCAUCUGCAUUCAUACAUGCAUCUACUCACAAUCUUUUAGGUUUCCUUUGAGCAAGCAAAUGUGUUUUUUUCUUGUCUUUAUUGUGUGGGUGAUGUUUUGCACUAAUUAAUAUGUUGUUUUGUUCAGGUAAACACAGAGAAAUGUGCAAUCAUUGUCAGUGGAUUUCAAUUAGGCUUUCCUGGCUGCUUGAGCACAGUUUCUACUUUUGCUGCUGAGAUAUAUGGUAUGUGGAAGACUGGACAUGGCUGGAGAGCCUUCUUCUACAUCAGUAUUACCAUCUUUCCAUCUUUUGCACUGGGAACUCUUGUAUUCUCAGUUCCUAUAUGGAUUAAGCAUUAUGAAUAAUAAUUCAUACUAGCAUUAUAAAUAGUAAUUCAUAUUGCAAUCUCAGGUUAAAGAAUGGCUGUAGCUGCUUAUUCAUCAUUCUUGUCUUGGUGUAAAGAGUAACAAGGCUUGACUUAUUCUACCAAUUAAGGUUUAAGAAUAAUAAGGCUGACUUAAUAAAACAUGACCUUCAUGGAUUUGAAUUCAGGAAACAGCCUCUCUAUUCUACAGCCCUGAAGUAUCUAGCACCAGUAGUACCUCAGACCUCGAAAUGAAGGAAGCCUCAUACACUGUGACACCCUUUUCUUUUGCUUGAAAGGUGGAUGAGAAAUCACAUAACAUCACAGCAAUCUUUGAUCUUUCUCUAAGUAUACUCUGGCUGUAUUAAAUUCUGGGAUUGUUUCAAUUCAACCAGUUACUUACACUGCCAUAUGUGGGGAUCAAUAAAUUUCAUUUUAUACCUCCACAUGAACUGUUCUACUGUUUGUUUUUUGAAAUAUCAUCAUCCCUUUUGUGUCGGGAGAUUUCAAGCAUGUGUGACCUUAACUGAAAUUGACACUUCGAUUUUGUCAGCCUGCAAUAAAUGAGAUAUAUACUCCUUCAACUUAAAAAAAUUUAUAUUAUAAUCUUUAUAAUUAUGAAAGUAAAAUAUUUAGAUCUAUUUAUCCUAAUAUCAUUUAUUUUAUCAAUAAAAAUAUAAAAAUAAUAGAUAAAAAUUAAUUUUAAUGUUCCAAUUAGCGUUGAUAGAUGGUGUCGGUGGUUGCGGAGGACAGCAUCGUUGGGGGUUAUGGGUGGCUACUGUGGAUGAGGAGAGUAGUGGCCAAAGAGAAAGGUCACUCUACAUUUGCGUGGACGCCAACGCAGUUGGCAAAUGGUGAAAGAGCCACUAAUGCAAUGUAAAAGGCCUCUCGACAACGAUGUAGAGGCAAAGUGGCGAAAGGGCCUCUUAUUGCAUCAAUGUCGACGUAGUUAUCGAGCGACGAAAUGGUCACUUAGCAUCUACAUUGGCAUUGGCAAUGACAAAUGCAGAUGCCAUCGCUCGAUAUCUAUAUCAGUAUCAAUGUAGAUGCAGAACGACAUCGCUAUGCAUAUGUAUCGACGUCGAUACAAAUGCGGCAACUGCGUUGAGAGCGACCCUCAUCUCUGACUACUGCUCUCCUUAUCCACAACAACCAUCCGUGACCCACAACAGCGUUGUUGUUCACAAUCAUCUGCCACCAUUAAUUGAAAUAUUGAAAUUAAUUUUUUGCUCAUUGUUUUCGUGUUUCUAUUAGUAAAAUCAACGAUGUUAUGGUAAAUAAAUGUAGAUAUUUUACUCUCAUAACUAUAGAAAUUUUAAUAUAAAUUUUUUUAAGCUUAGGGAGCAUGAUGCUAAGGAGGUCUAAAUACAUUGAGUAAUCUGUAAUUAGCUAUGGGCAAUGGCGUUGCUUCACUUGUCGCACGUAGCGAUGUUGCAUAACCAUCGUAGGGCUGUCACACCUCAUAAUGCUUGUAUUGGAUAUGCAACCAUUGCUUGUGAUUGGGUUGGUGACCACCGAAGGUCACCGCUCUUAACAAUAUUAUCAUCAACAAUGAUCGAUCGAUAAAACACGAGGAACCUCACAUUACCCGCAAGCAGGUAAUAAGAUGGACUAGAUAAAAAAGUAGAUCAGCAAUACAGAUGAAAUGUUCAUACAUCGUAAAUAAAAAUCAAAUAACAACUUUUUGAUGCUACCAAAUAGAUAUAAAAUAUUUGAUUUUAGACUCUAAUACCAAUUAUGCGUAUAAAAAUCAUCCUUAUGCUUUUAUUAUGUGAAAAACUUUAAUGUCAGAAUCUAAAAUCAAAUAAUAAUAGAUCCAUUUUACGAUGAGCACCUUUCAAUGUCAUUCGGAAAACUUUUAUCUGAUAUGUGAAUGCAUCAUAGUUAGAUCCGAAAGCAAUAGUGAUGCGAAUUUGUAAGGAAAACUAGACUCAUAUUCUCCUCUCUUCCUAUCAUUCACAAGAUUGUUAUGAGCGAUAAAUUUAGAGAUAAAUAGGAGAUGAGAGAAGAUAUGUAAUCUCACAUUGAAUAGUUCGGAGAGAUGAGAGAAGAUCUAUAAUCUUUCGUUAACUGGUUUACGUGACUAUGAGAGAAGAUCUGUACUCUCAGUAAUGUCACAUAUCCUUAUCUUCUCUUAUCUGUAUAUCCAUAUAUCCACAUCCAUACUAAGUCCUUAGGAGGUCAAUAAUAAGUAUGAGAAUCUUUCCCAUCAAAGUUAUCUCGUAAGGAAUUCUAUUAUAAUUAAAUAUUUUUUUUCUAUUGAUCAAUAAUCAGAAUCUAAUCAUAUAUAUAAUAUAUCUUACCUAAUUAAAUAAGAUAAUAUAAUAUGUCAUAAAAUCUAACAGGCAAAAGAGUGGUCCAUCUACAAUAAUCACCAAACACGAUGAAUGGUAGAUACCUCGAACAAGUCACGACAAGGCCUUGAGGAUCCCAAACCACGAUGUGAUUCGACACCUUGAAUUGUGACCCUAGAUCAAGCUAAGUCUAUUAAUGGAGUUUAAGCAAAUACACUAGUAGAGAAGAAAUAAACUUAAAAGAGAAUUUUUCCUAACAACCAGCGAGUAAAUCAGGAACAGGCUACCUUUGAACUGAGAAGAUGCUAGGGAGGAUCAGACCCUCGCCCGUUCUCCACCACACCAUGAGGCCUGGUUGAUAACACGAGUUGUUUGCCAUUCCUUUCCAAGGUUAAAUAUGGGUUAAAGACUGAUAGCACACCACUACUACGAGGGACAAAAUAAAAGAUUCUCUAAAAAGAGAGCUAAAGAAUGCUUGAAUUUAUUGGCAGGGAAGUAGAUUGAGACAAGAUGAUAUAUCUUAGACAAUCUACGAGCUUGGUUCGAGGCAUAUGUGGGCCCGAGGGCAUCAGCCCACAGACUCCCCCAUUCUUCAAUUUUUAUUUUCUUCAAUAUAUAUAUAUAUAUGGAAGCAUGAUUUGCUUCCAUAAUCCGACUACUUUGCCUCCAUGCUUCAUCUACAGAAACCAGAACUCAAGUGGUUUCACAUGCAGUUAGUGUUUAGCUUGUAAAUACAUCUUUUUAUCAACUUUGCAUGACCGAAUGGAAACCAAAACUCUUGAGAUUCCACCAAGGUACGACUCAAUGACCAGAACUGCCGAUCAGCUGAAUUCUGCAUCAUUUUAUCUGCAAUUAUCUGUCCUUUCAAUUGAAUAGCAACAAGUAAAUUUGCAGAAGAGGAAAGUUUACCAUUCGGCAUGAAAGACACCAAUCUUUACAGCAAGCUUUGAGUUGACGAUCCACGGAGGAACGUCAUAACACCUCAUCCUUGAGAUAGCUGCAACCAUUUAAACAUGGCAACAGGCAUAGGAAAUUUAUAGAGAACUUACAUAAAGAAAUGCAUGCUCACGAUAAAGAUGUCAAUUAAAUAUGCUGAGCCACUUAAAGGUGUUAGCAUACUCUAUCAUUAUCACAGUGCAGUAAUAAGCAGAGUGUCUGAUGGCAUAGCAUAAAUAGUAUAUGUUUUUAUUGAAUCUUCCCUUCUGGCCAUAAAUGAGAACAUUACCGAUGAAUUCAAUGGAGGUGUGACUAUAUUACAAAAAUGUGACAUGCUCCUUCGAGGAAAUUAGUCAUCCUUCAUUGAACAAAAGGAGUGAACUGUCUGGUCACAGAACAAAUAUCAUUCCAAAGGAUGAGCAGGAUAUGAGCAGCCUAUAAACUUCUAUAGUCUAUAACAGUCACUUCAUCUUCUGGAGCAUCAAGAUCUUGAUAACUGCAAAUCAAAGAUGACCAGUUAAAAACACAUCGACAAGAUAGACAGAAUCCAGCAGCACAUAAUGGUGGCACGACCACGAAAACUAAAUCAUGUCCAAAAGUUCAGAAAUAACAAAGUGCAAAAGUACAUUAGUUCUAGUAAAAAACAUACAAACUGAUGCAAGAAUGGCACAGACCUUCUUAUGCGACGAGGAUCAUGUCGAAAUGCUGGCGGCAUAGCAAGAACUGGCGCUGAACCACUCACUUGCGGACCAAGCCUUCCUUUGAUACCCCGACGGCCACCAGUAGCUUCAAACGAUGAUGGUCCACUAGUGUCCCUCAACAUACGCAUGGCAACCUCUGGUGGGGCAGGGACAAAAGGUCCCAACGGGCUAAUAUGUAAUAAUUAAAUUUUAGACAAGAUUAAUAGAGGUAAUAAUUCGAUUUGAACUCUGGGAACCACCGACUCACCCAGCACCAGGAACAGGCAUUAACACUGGUGGAGGAGGAAUAUCUGAGGGAAAAGCACCAUGCAAGCCUUGUCCACCAUAAGCAUCAUACAGAGGUUUGUCAUGAUUCUCCACUUCGGAUCCAUCAUUGGCAUCACGAGGUGAGUUGUCAGUCCUAUCAUGCCGGUCAUCAUCUCCAUCGUUCCUGUUGGGCUCUCUGCGGUUGCCACGUUCAUCUCUAAGGCGGCCGUCUAACAGUCGUUUCUUCUGCAUUUUCACCUUCUGCACAUGGAAAGUGUAACUAAUAAAAUAAUAAAUUUCAAGAUCACAGAAUCACAUAUUUGAAAGUUCAUAUCCAAGUGAUUGUUUAUGUAUAAGAAUGCAAUAUUAAUCUAAAGUAGAAGAAGUUUCUAUAAAAGAACAUCAAAAUUAAAAGUUAAAAAAAUGGAUCAAAUAAAAUUUUAAACAGAAGAACCAAAUUAAAUCCAAUUAAACAAUUCACAUCCCUAGUCCUCCCUUAAAAGCACUUUUGCACAAAACAAAUUUCCAAUAAGUUCAUUAAAUUAUAAAACAAAUUUCUGCAAUUUCAGCUACAUGACAAGUUUUAGACAAAAUGAGUGUACAAUAAGACGAAAUAUUGUUAGACAAUACGGAUAUACCAAUGACUAAAAUUAGAAUACACAUCAAAUCCAGAGCCUUAACUAGCAUUAGAUAGACAUCAGUUCCCAACAAAGAUCACCAAAACUGUUGCAUAUUUUUUUAAUUGCUCUUUUUAGUUUAUCGAUUUUCUGUUUCUAUAACUAGUUGCUAAGAUAGUUUACAAAUUUAUGCAUGCUGAGAUGUCCAACGGGAGUAAACCCAUCUCACAAACUUCCAUAUUCCAGAGAUUUAUAAAAUAAUAUUGGAAGGAAAGAACCACUCAUUCAAACAUCAGGCAACUUAGAGAAUAAUCAAAGAAAUAUUAGACCAACCUCUUGCCUCCUCUUUUACCUAUCAUUAUCAUCAAUCAGCAUUUUCAGCUUAUAUCAACAUGUUUAGAUAAAUCCAUUUGCAUAAAGGUACAAUUUUACAAAUCGGGACAAUGGAAGGAGUUUAAUUAAUUAUUGUUCCAUUGCAUUCUUUAACUAUUCCUUAUUGAUUUCUUAUUUUAUUUUAAUUUUUUUAUAAUAACUCUAUGGAUGAAACCUCUUUCUCAUCAUUUUUUUUUAAUUGAUUGACACCAACAAUUAAAACCUUGACUAGAAAGUUGUAAAUGUGCUUUGGGUUCAAAGUAAAAGCAGGGUCUGCAGUACCGAACUGUACCGCUCGGUAUGGGCGGUACGUACCGGUCCGACCGGUUGCCGGUACGCGGACCACCUGUUACCGGUCCGAGUGCACCGUAACACUGUAGCAGUGCUACAGUACUCGACACACCUGGGUGUACCGCUCGGUAUACCGUACCAUACCGGUACCGAGCCCAGGUCGAAAUACCGGUACGGUACGAUAUUGCGAACCUUUAGUAAAAGAACACAAAAGUGAAAAAAAUAAUACAACAUAAUCACAAGGCAAAAACAAUAUGCUUAACACUACAGAAAGAAGUCAUACUGAUGCAGAUUGCUGCAUGACAGGAGUCCCACCAGGUGCAUUUGGAUCACUGCAUUAGAAAGAAGUCAGUGGUUCUCUCAAUGUAGCCACUAAUUUUGGGACACCAGAUAUGCUAAAUUCUUACUUCAUAUAAUUCUGAAAAUACAGAUCUUCUCGAACUUUUGAGGUGAGCUCCAUUACGAGGUCUAGGUGUUUCAGCCUGAGAUGCUUAUGAACAAACUCAGGAGCGUGGAAAAGCUUUGUGCAACCCUUUGCUCCACAUCCGUACUUCCAACCAUAUUUUUCAUCUCGUAUUUUCCUCACAAGAGGAUCUAGAGCCUCGGUAGCUGCUGCAUCAAUCUUAUCUUUGGCUGUCAAUGUUUCCAAGGGAUCCUGACCUUCCAGUCUUGCUUGCCAGAAUGAAUCAAGUUUCUUCUCCCAAUCAGAUCCACUAGCAUCAGUUCCAUCAUGUGUCUUAUUGUCAGCUCUAACAUGCCGAAGACCCUUGGCUUCAGAUGACUCAGACAUGCCGUAGUAAUCCAAGCCAUGGACACGCCACAGGUAGGUAAUCAAAGUAUCUAACAGUUCGACACCUUCAAGGCCCUUGAUAGCAUUCAGGCCACGUAUAAUUACAAUUGGCCCCAUGGAGCCUCCAUGAGACUUCUCCACUUCCAACUUACCAUGACCACUACUGGAAAGGACAUUGUCCUCAAUACCCUUCUCCAUGUCAAGCUUACGGACCAAGGCUUGUGCUUGUUCAAUGUCAACUUGAAUUCGUCGAGGUUCAGAACUAACUGGGUGAACCUUGGGAGUGGCAGAAAGCAGAUCAUUUUCUUUCUCUGUCCCCCUACCAUGCCUUCUCCUUUUGCCACCAGGGCCCGCCUCAUCUUCAGAGUUUGGUUCACUACCAUUCCCAGACUUGCUAGCUGAAGAAGAUGUUAAUCCUGGUCCACUGAUGAUACGAGCAGGGAAAACGCAAGUCAAGGGAACAUAAACCUUAGGAAAGCCCAUAUGAGGUCUAAGAAGAAACUCUUACAGGUCAAGUGUCCCACUCUGUAAAUCAAGCAAGAAUUCCUUUGCAAGAGUCCUGGCCUGUUCUUUCCUCCUGUGAAGCAUGCAACACAUAAUGAUAGCACUAGAAGUGUGAAGAUAAUAAUCUAAUGAAGAAGCACAAAUAUAAAAAUGAAACCAAACUAGCCUGACCAUAUGAAGAAGAGACAAACAAUAAAGCUUGUCUGGUUGAAACAGGGAAAAAGGGAGGAAAUCCUCAAGUAAAAGACAGUGAAAAUCAUAUUCAACGUACAAUUACCAAUAGUCUUCUAAAAACAUGUCUAUGUUGUUGCAUACACUGAAACUCACCUUUCAAUGACUGCCACUAAGUUAGUUGGAUGAUAUUUGUCUUUCAACCUACACCAGGAGGCAGUCAUGUAAAAAGUUUUCAAUCAUAUUACAUAACUUCCAUAUGAAAAUAUAAUAAAAAAUGGAAUAAUGUAAGCACCAUGUACCAUUGUUUUUCUUUAUGAGCUUCAAAAUAAGCACGCUUCUGAGUGGAAAUGUAUUCCGAUCUGUAUUCUUCAUACCUACAUGAUCAAAACUUGGAUUGAACAUCCAUACUAGCUAAACAACUAGCAGAAUUGGCAAGUAUUCUAAUCCGAUACAAGUUAAGUGGCACGGUCAACAAUGCUUAUCACAAACUAACUCUUUGAAGUGAUACCUAGUAUCCCUAAUACAUGUACCUGUACUCAGCUUCAGUGGGUGAAAUAUCAUCUUCGAGUUCUUGAAUGAACUGCUUGUAUGUCAUCAAACCUCCCCUGCAAAAUGAUGAACAAGUAGAUAAAUGAGAAUUCCAGAAGUUAUGGAAUUUCAGCAAUUGUGUUGGAAUUUCAGCAAUUGAAACCCAAAACCACGAGAAAUCCAACACAGUCAUGUCAUCCAUGCUGCUAAAAUAAUACCAUCUUCUCAAUCGUAGAAAAGUUUAGCAAAGCUUCAUGUAACACUAUUUUGUUUUCACAUCAUACUUCUUAAAAAACAUAUGAUCCACAAGAGUAGACAAAGAAAAUCUAUUCUGAUGUUCCCUCAGACAAUGCAACAAUAUUUAACCUCUGUAUUAUCUGAUCUGGGACGAUCAAGCCAAGUUCAAGUCGAUCUCCAAUUCGACUCAACCAGGCUCAGCCAGAGUUCGAGUCAAAAUCCAAAUAGAAUCAUAGAUCCUAAUCCAACCGAACCAAGCUCACGAUCGAAUCCAAGCUCAAGGACUAGAACAAACAUAGUUUAAGCUUGACUCAUGUUCAGCUCAAACCAAGUUUCGAUCAAAGUCCAAUUCAGCUCAACCGAGUUCAAGUUGAAUUUUGAUUCAACUCCACUCUGGCUGAAUCCAAUGCAAGCCCAAUCUCAAGCUUCGAAUCAAGUUGUGACUAGACCAACAUCAGCUCCAAUUGUAGCACACCAUGCUCUAGAAUGGUGGAACACCUACGAUCCUACAACGAUGAAGAGGUGACAUGGGAACCCUUUAGAAGGCUCAUCCAUCACAACUUUUACCCGAUGGCCUAUCAUGAAUAUUAGUGGAAAAGAUGGCAUUACUUGCACCAAGGACAAGAACAAUCGAUGCAAGAUUACACCACCAAGUUCCGAUGACAAGCGGUGGCACUCGAGAUUUCUCUCAACAAGCACUCGACGGUCAUGAAAUAUAUUGCUGGUUUGCAUAUUCUAAUCAGUACCAAACUGAGCCUUUUCUAGGCGUAUGAUAUCUUGAGUGCUAGUGGGAUAGUCAUGGCAAUCGAAAGGAAGAAUAGAAUUGUAGCGAGAAGACUGUGAAGAAGGACAAAGGGGCCUAAUCGAAGGACAAGGAAAAUUCGAGGAACAAUAAGAAUUCUUCUUCUUCAUAGAGAAGUGACCUUUUCUAUGACCACUGUCACAUUAAGGAGCAAAGUUGGAAGGUUCACUCGGAACUCUUCCCAAAAAAUUGGAUAAAGAACGACCAAAGUUAAUGGAUAGCAACCACAACCGUUGCCAACGACUACAUCGAGCGUGCUGUCACGGACUUAGCUGGAAUUGCCUAAGUCAUGAGGCACCCUUGCGGCCAAGACACUAACUUAGCUUAAGUUGCCUAAGUCGCGAAGCGCCCUUGAGCCAACUUCUCGGACUUUAGCUAGGAUUGCCUAAGUCAUGACGCGCCCUUGCGAUAUGCAUCCGCAAAGGUCAGCCAAUUUGCAACCUCACUCGGGUCCCGAAGGACUUGUAAAAGAGAAAGUUGAUUAGUUCGAAGAACAAGCGACGAACAAGUCUCGACGUCUCGCGAAAGGGGAAGCUUUACAAGCAAUUCAGAAAGCACCUUGUGUGCAUAAGAGAAAAGAGAGAAAGGAGGAAAAAUAAGACUUUAGAAGGUUGAAUGAACAGUUGCAAGUUCACAAAUAGCUGCUCACCGGGUGCCGGGUGCGAAGACAAAUUCUCGUCAAGUUAACGUGCAAACUUGUAAAAGAUUGUUCAACGCUCGACACUAUACCGAAGCCCCAUCCCCCAUGGUGCCACCCGAGUGGUUCCAAGGUGCUGAGAUGGCUGACAUUUCGCAUGCAGCAGCAAGCUGCAGAAAACAGCCCGUGGCACGCGAAAACAGAGCCAUUUUGGGUUGUUUUGCUUGGUGCAAUGAGUGAUCGCACUGUAGCUCUGCAACUUGUUCGAACUUACAUUUUUUACAAGCAAAAGAACAUAAAACCAAGCCAAAACAUGCUGUCAAGCAUCUGUACAUGUAAACAAAAGCGACGAACGAUUCAUUGAACGAAGUUGUUGUGAGUGCGCGACGACCGUUCGUGACAUUCUCCCCCACUUAAACUAUCGACGCCCUCGUCGACGCUUGUUGGUAGUUGUUGAUGAUUGCUUCUUCAUGUCGUAGGACGUCUUCGAGCUCCCAAGUGGCUUCGAUUUGGGGAAGCUUUCGCUACUUCACCAAGUACUCGGUCUGCUCAACUCUAGUGGGUAGCUUUAUCUUGCGAUCCGCUAAAAUGGUUUCCACUCGCUUCUCGUAGGAGGCUCUGGUGGGGGGUAGCCGAGUUGAAACACUUCGGGAAGCAUCUUGCGGAUCUGAGUAGUAGGCUUUCAAGUUGCUGGUGUGAAAAACAUUAUGAAUUUUGAGCCAUGCCGACAGCUGCAACUUGUAGGAGGCGUUGCCCACCCUACUGAUAAUUGGGAAGGGCCCUUCAUACUUGCGCACCAAUCCUUCGUGUACUUUGUUCCUAAAGAAUUGGAGUGAUGCUGGUUGGAGCUUUACCAACACCAAAUCGUCGACCUUGAACUCCUACAGUCGCUUUCCCAAGUCUGCCCACUUCUUCAUCCUUUUGGCCGCCCUCUCCAAGUAAGCCCGUGUAAUGUCUGCGUUUCGGUGCCACUCCUUUGCAAAGUGGUAGGCUAACGGACUACUCCUAGUAUACCCAAUUGCUAUAGUGUGAGGAGUUGAUGGUUGUUGUCCUGUAAUGAUCUCGAAGGGGCUCUUAUUGGACACAAAGCUCCGCUGCAAAUUGUAGGAGAAUUGGGCUAUGUCCAACAGCUUCACCCAAAUCUCAUUGGUUGGCACUCACGUAGUGCCGAAGAUAUUGCUCCAGAAGCGAGUUUAUCCUUUCGAUUUGGCCAUCCGUCUGGGGGUGGAGGCUUGUGGAGAAGUAUAACUUAGACCCUAACAAUUUGAAUAGCUUGGUCUAGAAUCGUCCUAGGAACCAAGCGUCUCGAUCACUGAUGAUAUUGUGCGGGACUCCCCAAUACUUCACCACAUUCUUCAUCAUCAGCUUGGCCGCCUCAUCAGCUAAAUAGUGUAGGGGUGCAGCAAUGAAGGUUACAUACUUUGAAAAUCGAUCGAUCACCAUGAGUAUCGAUCUGAGUCCCCUUACUGCCGGCAAGCUUGAUAUGAAGUCCAAGGAAAUGCUCUCCCACAACCUUUCUGGUACGGGCAACGGCUCCAAAAGUCCCACCGGCUUCCGCUGCUCCACCUUGUCUUGUUGGCAAGUGAGGCACGUUCGAACAUAUUCCUCCGCAUCAGUCCCCAUCUUCGGCCAGUAGAAGGCCCUCUCCACAAGAGCCAAGGUUCUGUGAAUACCCGGAUGUCCAACCCAAAGAGAAUCGUGACACUCUCUUAAGAGCUCACGCCUCAAAUUGUCCACUUGAGGAACAUAAACCCUAUUCCCUUUUGUGUACACGAGUCCCUCAUGGACCCAAAAUCGUCGUGUCUUGCCUUCUUUGAUGAGCUGCAUCAGGGUUACUGCCUGGGGAUCAUUGUAUAGUCCAUCCUUGAUCCUGGAAAUGAAGUUGGAGUGCAACUGACUUGCUUGGCCUCUGCCCUCCAACUGUACGGCAUUCACUCGCUCCACUUUCCGGCUUAAUGCAUCGACCACGACAUUUGCCUUUCCGGGCUUGUACUCCAUUGUCAUAUCAAACUCAGCAAGGAAGUCAUGUCAUCGUGCUUGCUUUGGGGAGAGUUUCUUCUUAGUUUGAAAAUAGCUCAAAGCGACGUUGUCUGUCCUCAGCACAAAUCGCGAUUCAAGAAGGUAGUGCCGCCAAACUUGUAGACAGUGGACCACAGCUGUCAUCUCCUUCUCAUGCACCGGAUACCGCCGCUCAAUCUCGUUGAGCUUACGACUCUCAUAGGCCACCUCCUGCAUGAGUACUCCCCCAAUAGCGAAGUCAGAAGCAUAUGUAUGGACUUCGAAGAGCUCCCCAUAGUUCGACAAUUUGAGCACCAGUUCUUCCAACACAACAGCCUUCAGAUCUUGGAAUGCAGCUUCACAUUUAUUAGAUCACCUCCAAGGCUACUCCUUCAGCAACUCCGUCAGUGGAGUUGCACGCUUCGAAUACCCCGCUAUGAAGCGUCGAUAGUAGUUGACGAAACCAAGGAAGGAUCUCAACUCCGGCACCUUCUUUGGAGUUCGCCAUUCCGCAACAGCUUGCACCUUCGAUUUGUCCAUCCGAAUGGAGACAUCACCAAUUCGAUGCCCCAAGAAUAUGAUAUUCGUUUGAACAAAAUAGCACUUCUCCCUUUUCACGAACAAAGUGUUCUCCUUGAGAACCUUGAAAAUUGUCCGAAGGUGCUCGACAUGCUCCUCGAGCGUUUAGUUGUAGACGACGAUAUCGUCCAAGUAGACGACCACAAACUUAUCCAAAUACUCCUUAAAUAGUUGGUUCAUAAGAGUGCAGAAUAUGGCCGGAGCAUUGGUUAAGCCGAAAGGCAUCACCAAGAACUCAAACGCUCCAUACCUGGUCACACAAGUAGUUUUCGCUUCGCCGCCUUCAGCAAUGCGCACCUGCCAGUACCCCGACCGGAGGUCAAGUUUGGAGAAAUACUUGGUUUUGCCCAAUUGGUCGAACAAGUCCACGAUGAGCGAGAUGGGAUACUUGUUCUUCACCGUCACUUUGUUGAGGGCUCGAUAAUCAAUGCAUAGUCGAAGGCUCUCAUCUUGUUUCUUUUGGAAGAGAACUGGAGUUCCGAAGCGUGCUUUAGAACUGCGGAUGAGACCACCGCUUAGCAGUUCACCUAACUGUUUUCUGAGCUCUGCCAACUCUGGAGAGGGCAUGCGGCAGGGUAGUCUCGCUGGAAGCUUCACUCCUGGCUCCAGCUCGAUGUGACGAUCCACGCCUCUGCAUGACGGUAAAGUCUUCGGCAACUCGGGUGGCAUAACGUCUGUGAACUCCUUCAGGACGUUCGUCACCAUAGCAGGUUCAUGAAUGGUCUUCUCGUCGAGUGGCUCUAUCUUCAUAGUAGCCACGAAUGUUAAUUCGUCUUUUCGUACCCAUUUCUUUAGUUGUAAUGUCGAUAUCUAUUGGGGUUCCCUGGCUCCUCUCCGAGAGACGGGAACCAUACAGGGGUCAUCGCCUCCCAUCAUACAUAGGGAGUUUAGGAACAACAUUGGCACUAACUUCGCCGCGUGCAUGAACUUCAUUCCAAGAAUCACUUGGAAGUCGUUCAGUGGCACCGCCAUCAUGUUUGUACUCCCGCUCCAUGUUCCGAUCUUGAUGGGAACUCCCUUUGCCAACCCGGAGAUUCGCUUGGCCUCUGAGUUCACCGCCUUCAUUCGACUUGGGUUCUUCUCCAAGAUCAGCCCAAGUCGCUUUGCUUCUUGGUCGGCAAUAAAGUUGUGGGUAGCACUCGUGUCCACCAUUGCACGGGUCGUUUGGCCAUUGAGCUUAAUGUCUACGUACAUCAGCUCGUUGCUUCCUGCUUUUUGUGGCCUUGCCUUCAUGUUCUCCCCCACUUGACCCCGCAUAACGUUCAACAAACACAUUUCUACUAUCCGAGGUCCUUGCGACUCCUUAUCGUCGCUGUUGGAUUCUGAACUGCUUGAACUGAGGGUGACGGCUUUGCCCUUGUCUGAUUUGAGGGGUGGAUGGAAACUGUUAAAGCAUUGAGUGUCUGUUUUUGUGGGCAUUCCCUCACCAUGUGCGGCCCUCCGCACAAGAAGCAUCCGCCAGUUUCGGAGCCUUGCCUUUAGAGCUCGGCCCUUUGUGGGAACUCUUCUUCCUUUGUUCGCCUUCGGGCUCCUUCCCUCGAGAAUAUUUUGAAGGGCAAUUUCCUGAAGAUUGUUUCCUUUUUCCCGGGUCCUCGGAGGAAACAAAGUCGGUGAGCCUUUCUACGACAGCAAUUGCCCCGAUCACAUCGGUGACAUUCCUUCGAUGCAGUUCUUGUUCAGCUCAUGGCUUCAAACCAUCGAGGAAGCUAAACAGCUUAUCCUUCUCGAACAUGUCCUGUAUGUCCAACAUUAGUGUAAAAAAUUACUUCACGUAAUCUCGGAUGGAAGUACUUUGGCGGAGUUGUCUUAGUUUCCUCCUUGCAACGAGCUCUGUGUUCUCAGGUAGAAAUUUGUUAGAACCCUUGCAGAUUCUAAACUUGGGGUUGAUCUCUUUAGAGGAUCGGCCUCCUUGGAACUCUAUAGGGGUUCCUCCCUCCAAGUUGCUGCUCAAAGGCUACAGAAAAGAUUCAUCUAUUGCUUAUGAAAAGAGAAGGAAUACAUGGCUAUUUAUAGGGCUUCUAAACCCUAACUCCUAAUAGGACUCCUACUUAAGACUCUUACUUCUAACCAACUCCUAGUCAAGACUCCUAUUCCCUUACAACUCCUAAUUCUUCUUUAAGAAAACACCUCUUACAUGAAUGUCCCUCUCAAUUAGGACUCUCCUAGCUAGAGUCCUAACAGAAUGUCCCUCUCAAUUAGGACUCUCCUAGCUAGAGUCCUAACAGUUUUACAUGAAUGUCCCUCUCAAUUAGGACUCUCCAAGCUAGAGUCCUAACAGACCCGCCCUCUUCAAAUCAGCCUUGUCCUCGAGGCUGAUGAUUCGUGAAUUCUGGGAAUUUGAUCUUCAAGUCGUCAUAGUUCUCCCAAGUGGCAUCUUCUAUUGGUAGUUCUCCCAAGUGGGUCAUCGUCGUCGAGUCACGAUCCGUCGAUCAAUAAUGACACUUGGCUGGGUCUGGAGUUCUCUUUGGGUAGUCAUAUUUGGUGGGUGGCUUUGGGCUGUCUCCAAGCACCUAUUUAAAACUUUCGUCUGGCCGUCGGUUUGUGGGUGAUAUGCCAUACUCCUUUUCAAUUUAGUACCCUGCAUAUGGAAUAACUUUGUCCAAAAUCUGCUCGUGAAGAUGCAAGUAGAAUUUAUCGUAAGCACAAUGCGUCCCUUAUAGUGUAAUUCUUUUGAGUCACAAUUGUAAUGAGCCAUGGGGCUUGGUGCUUCCUCCAAUUUUCUUAUAAUCUUACUAGUCUCUGAAUCUUCCUGCCAUUCUAUCUUAAUAUCCUUAAGAAAGUCGCUGGUCGGAAGUGAAACGGCCGAAACUUCAACUUGCUCGGGUAGCUGCGAAAGCGCAUCUGCAAGAACAUUCUCUUUCCCCUUUUUGUAAGUUAUUUCAUAAUCAAAUCCAAGAAGUUUUAUUACCCUUUUUUGUUGCUCAGGGGAUGAUAUUUUUCGCUCCAAAAAGUACUUGAGGCUUUUAUGGUCAAUUUUAAUUUGAAAUCGUCGGCCAAUCAAGUAGGGUCUCCACCUCGUUGCGGCGCGCACAAUGGCGAGCAUCUCCUUAUCAUAUGUUGACUUAUUUUGAUGGGAGGGAGAUAAUGCCAUGCUAGUGUAUACAAGUGGUCGACCAUCUUGCAUGAGAAUGACUCCAAUUUUGACUGCAGAUGCGUUGGCCUCAAUAACGAAGGGUUGGUUGAAAUCUAGUAGUGUUAGCACCGGCGUCGUUGUCAUGGCUGCCUUAAGUUUGUCGAAGGCAGCGGAGGCUCUGUCCGACCAUUGGAAGACAUCUUUUUUCAGUAAGAAAUUAAGUGGUGCACUGAUCUCUCCAUAGUUUUUCAUGAACUUGCAGUAGUAGCCUGUUAAACCCAGAAAGCCAUGUAGCAAUUUUAUGUUCCACGGGGUCAGCCAGUUUUGCAUUGCUCCAAUUUUGAAGUGGUCUACUGCCACACCUUCCUCUGAUAUGAUAUGCCCAAGAUAUUCCAUCUUCUUAUGAAGAAAGCAAAAAUUCAUAAUGGUUGUUGUGUGUUCAAAAGGUGGUUUUCGGUAUGUCUUCUUCGUAUACUCGUAUUUGAUGAUACCCGGAUCGAAGGUCCAGCUUUGUGAAGAUUUGUGCUCCCUUAGCAACUCAUCUACUAUUGGAAUAGGGUAUUUAUCCUUAAUGGUUAUGCCAUUGAGAGCUCGGUAAUCAACACAUAAUCGCCAUAUUCCAUCCUUCUUUCGUAUGAGGAGCACCGGUGAAGAGUAGGGGCUGCAACUUGGCCGAAUAACUCCUGUUUUGAGCAUCUCUUUUACAAUCCUUUCUAUUUCAUCCUUCUGGAGAUGUGGAUAUUGAUAUGGCCGAGUAUUUGCUGGAGGUUUUCCUGAAAGAAUCAUUAUAUAAUGAUCAUGCCGACGGGUAAGAGGUAGGUUGUACGGUUCGUCAAAUAUAUCUGAAAAUUCAGCAAGCAAAGGAAGUAGGUUUGGAUCUUCAAAUUAUAUUGGCUCUCCCUUAGUUUGCUGCUCAAGUUGUAUAAAAAAUCUGUUGCNNNNNNNNNNNNNNNNNNNNGGAAACCAGAACCUGUUGCAAUUCACGGGGAGAUCAAAGGAUGAUCCACGGUGGUGGAGAUGAUGGCGGAAUUCGGCGACGAUCUUUUAAGCAAUUGUGGGAAUUGCUUUGGGAGGUUGUGGAGGGCUGAUGGAUGGCAAUGGAAGGGCAGCGAGAUGCCAAAAACGCUGCUCUGAUACCAGGUGUUAGAACCCUUGCAGAUUCUAAACUUGGGGUUGAUCUCUUUAGAGGAUCGGCCUCCUUGGAACUCUAUAGGGGUUCCUCCCUCCAAGUUGCUGCUCAAAGGCUGCAGAAAAGAUUCAUCUAUUGCUUAUGAAAAGAGAAGGAAUACAUGGCUAUUUAUAGGGCUUCUAAACCCUAACUCCUAAUAGGACUCCUACUUAAGACUCUUACUUCUAACCAACUCCUAGUAGGACUCCUAGUCAAGACUCCUAUUCCCUUACAACUCCUAAUUCUUCUUUAAGAAAACACCUCUUACAUGAAUGUCCCUCUCAAUUAGGACUCUCCUAGCUAGAGUCCUAACAGAAUGUCCCUCUCAAUUAGGACUCUCCUAGCUAGAGUCCUAACAGUUUUACAUGAAUGUCCCUCUCAAUUAGGACUCUCCAAGCUAGAGUCCUAACAAAACUGAGUUCUCAACUCUCGCUUUAAGUCCUCCCAUGUGUCCACCCGACACCAACCUUGUUGAAUCUCUCCUCCCAGCGGGUUCGCCACCAAAGUUUUGCAUCUCCAUUCAAAUACAUGGUUGCUAUAGAAACUUUGGUUUCUUCAAAAUCAGGCCUCGUAGCUCGAAAGUAUUGUUCCAUGUCGAACAGGAAAUUCUCGAGCUCUUUAGCAUCUCUAGCACCUCCAUAACAAUGCGGCUCGGGUGCCCUUAAGUUUUGUAGCGGCGUAACGCAGGUGUUGCUUCCUCCCGCAUUCAGUGCUCGUCAGCAUGGUCACCCUGGAAGUGAGUUCCGCCACGACUUCUUGCAGAUGUUGUACGAAGUCUUUAGUGUCAUCUGACAGUCGAUCAACUAGGGCCUCAACCUUGUCGAUCCGGGAUUCAGCUUCUUCUUACGAGCUCUCUACCCCAAGAAGCUUUCGUUGGCCAUGGUAGAGUUCCUCCAAGCUCGCUUCAAGAACAUCCAAGCGGGUUUCCGCCGCUGUGAGUCUCUCCUUAUGACUCUUUUUCCUGGUUGGCGCUCCAGAUUGCGCCUCCUCCGCUCGUGGAGAGUAGCCAACUUCUCGCUCAUCAUGUUCGCUGCCGCACUCCUCCUGACCGGCUCCAACAGCAUGAGAGCGAGUAUGCACUUGUAGCCCACCUACGGCUGCUUGGGGCAAGGGUCCAGCUUGCCCCGGCUUGCUUGAUUCACCACGAUGCUUUGCCAUAGUGAAAUUACAAAAUUCCUUCGCUGCUCGCUCGAAUUGCUUGCCCGCUCUGAUACCACAAUGUCACGAACUUAGCUGGAAUUGCCUAAGUCGUGAGGCACCCUUGCGGCCAAGACGCGAACUUAGCUUGAGUUGCCUAAGUCGCGAAGCGCCCUUGCGCCAACUUCUCGGACUUAGCUAGGAUUGCCUAAGUCAUGACGCACCCUUGCAAUAUACGUCUGCAAAGGUCAGCAAAUUUGCAACCUCACUCAGGUCCUUCGGGACCUGUAAAAGAGAAAGUUGAUUAGUUCGAAGAACGAGCGACGGACAAGUCCCGACGCCUCGCGAAAUGGGAAGCUUUACAAGCAAUUCAGUGAGCACCUUGCGUGCACAAGAGAAAAGAGAGAAGGGAGGAAAACAAGGACUUUAGAAGGUUGAACGAAUAGCUGCAAGUCCACAAACAGCUACUCACCGAGUGUCGGGCACGAAGACAAGUUCCCAUCAAGUUAACGUGCGAACUUGUGAAAGAUUGUUCAACGCCCAACAAUAUAUCGAAGCCCCAUCCCCCAUGGUGCCACCCGGGUGGUUCCAAGGUGCUAAGAUGGCUGACAUUUCGCAUGCAGCAGCGGGCUGCAGCAAACAACCUGUGGCACCCGAAAACGAAGCCAUUUUGGGUUGUUUUGCUCGGUGUAGUGAGCAGUCGCACUGUAGCACUGCAACUUGUUCGAACUUACAUUUUUUACAAGCAAAAGAACAUAAAACCAAGCCAAAACAUGCUGCCAAGCAUCUGUACAUGUAAACAAAAGCGGCGAACGGUUCGUUGAACGAAGUUGUUACGGGUGCUCGACGACCGUUCGUGACAAUGCGUCGAUUGUUCAUGCAAAUCCGAGUAUAUCGAUGAUGGCAAGACCGAAGGUUAUACACUCGAGUCCAUCCCACAGUCUAAAAGUUCGAGAAGAACUCAUUCACCGUAAAGAUCUAGGUGAAACAAGAGGUCAUUAGCACUAUCUUCGAUCUCGGUGAGAUUGGUCCAAAAGCUCAACCUAGAGAUGACACCGCAUCCACACUCAUAUCCUACAAGUUGCUUACAUAAGAAUGUGGAGAUAAAGAUCGACCGGCAAUGCAAGAUUCGCUUUGCAAUAACCAUUCAAUAGAUCGACGAGGCGACAUACAAAGUAGUGUCUCAUGACAUAUGUUAAGUCAUCCUUGGAAAGCCCUACCUUUGGGAUUGAGAUGCUUAUUUCUGUCAAGCACAAAAGUGUCAACUCUAGAAGGAUGAAAGAAAGCUUCUCAUCACACGAGAUCCGAUUAAAUCAAUGGUGGACUUGGCACCCAAUGGCCAAGCAAAGAGGAUGAAAAACGCUGGACGAAAGCACAUGGCUCUGACUACAACAUGGGGAAAAUCAAAAUCCUCCAACUGACAAAAGAGGAGAAAUAGAGAGGGGCAACAACAAGCUUGCAACCUCAAGAAGUUGAAAAAUAAAACCCUUAGAUCGAUGGUGAUUGACAACAAGAACCCCACCAAGACAACACAAAAAGAUGGCAUAGUUAAACACGGCAACACCGACCAUGAUGAUAAGCCAAACGAAAUCCUCCAAUGGCCCAAACUCGCAGAUAGAGAGAAGAACCUCAAAAUCAUAUUCAUCAUGAGUUGAAUUGCCCAAUUGGGGGAUCCAUAAUCUAGGACAAUCAAGCUGAGUACUAGCUAAACUCCAAUUCAGCUCGACCGGGAUUCGAGUCGAUUUCAAAUCGAUCUUGAUCGAACCGAAGCAAGCUUAAGCUCAAAUUUGAGCUCACGGACCAAAUCAAACAUAGCUCAGACUACUCAAGUUUUGCUCAAACCAAGUUCCAAUCGAAGUCCAAUUCAACUCAACUAGAGUUCGAGUCAAACUCCAAGUUAAAUCCAAUCUGGCCGAACCCAAUGCAAGCCCAAUCUCAAGCUUCGGAUCAAGUUGUAGUCAGACCAACAUCAACUCCACUUGCAGCAAACCCAAUCUGAUGCCCACUCGAAUCAAGAGAAGGAUAUGCGAUCAACCUAGAGAACCAACCUUCCUCAAUCUGAUACCUAUUUCGAUUGAAGGACUUGCAUAGCCAAUAAGAGGGAGAACUAAGAGGCACUGGCCUGGAGAAAUGAGAAUCCUAUCCUAGUUGCCAAUAAGAGGGAGAGCUAAGGGACGUCGACCUGGAGAAGAGAGAGUCCUAUCUUGGGGGCGCUAGAGAACAGAGAGUCCUACCCUAGUUAAGAACUUGUGUUGCUAGAGUUUCAUGUUAUAAAAUAAUGGCUGAAUGUCCAUGCCAUAACAAAAUUAAUAAAAAAUUCUCUAAAAGAGAAAUACUCAUGAAAAAAACAUGAUAGGGAAUGACGGUAGACAUAAUUAAGCCAGCAAAAGGGAGCAUAACAAAGGAACAUGAACCAUAUUUAAUAAAAACAUGUGACAAAUUACAAACCUCUGAAUAACCUCGGAACCAUCACCAUAACCAUCAUAUCCUGAAUCAGGCAAAUCCAAUGAUUAUUAAUUAACAAAAGCAUAAGACUUUAAAGAAUGCUAUUAUACAUCAAAUAAUUAUUUUACAUCAUCAGGAUGGCAAUAUGCAUUACUAAAAGUAUCUUGACAUAACCAACUAAAUCAUUUUGCUUUAACUCAAGACAACGUUUAUUAAUUAACAAAACCAUAAGACUUUAAAGAAUGCUAAUACAUCAAAUAAUUAUUUUACAUCAUCAGAAUGGCAAUAUGCAUUACUAAAAGUAUCUUGACAUAACCAACUAAAUCAUUUUGCUUUAACUCAAGACAACUUUAACCAGUAACUACUUUAUUAUUUUGCUUCAGUACUUUUAACAAAGGCACAAGCAUGAGAACUGACAUUAAAAGAUCCUUCAAUAUGGCAAUCAUUUCCACCUAGAUUAGAUGAGUGGAUUGAUAAGGUUGCAAUCCAGGCAAUUUGGCACGUUACAUCAUCCACAUGGAUAAAAGCUGCAUCCUACUAAGAAAUUUGUUAGUAUGAUAACAUACAGCCCAGGAAGAAUGCUGGUCUCUUUGCAGUACAGACACAUGCCCACUAGAAAUUAGAUGCUUUCUUCCCCUCUGUUAGAAGGUAUUAUGUGAGAAAUUGUGGGAGAGAUCCUACCAUAUCGCACUAGGUUCCAACAUGGAAACCUCAUACUGACAUUGGCACUCCUCCAGUCAUCUUUCCUGUAAAUAGAUGGGACAACAUUCAGCAUUUAAAUGGUGGACUCUUCUCUCAUACUCACAACUCUUUCUACAACCCCCACCACAAGAUUGUCCAGAUCCCUUUCAAUGUUCUAGCAAUUUCAAAAGUCAUCCCCUGGCUGUAAGAACACACUUUGGCACACAAAAUAAGCAAAUAAAAUUGCAUUCAGCUCUGGACUACUAAUUCUUGUACAGUUGGAAUUUCCUCCCAGUUUUUUUAUAAAACAACCUUCUCAUUCACUAAUAUUGAAUGUCUAUCAAUGAGCGAGGGGGAGUCUGCUGUCUGAAAUUGAAAAUGCCUGCAAGUAACAGUCACAGGUAAACGCACAAAUGCAAGCAUAAUAGCAGGCGCAGCUAUUUGGACACCUGAAUGUAGAGUUGCUAGCUGCAAUUGCAACAAAGGUAGAGGAGGGGUCGGCCAAUGCCCAAAGGGGAAGGAGGUGAUAACUAUGCAGACUAAAGUGGUGGAAGAGUAGGUGUGUACAAAGGCAACACAUGAGAAAGGAUAUCCAAAACCAACUAUGACUUGCAAUAUAAGAUGCAAGAAAUAUGCAGAGUAUGCAUGAGUAAGAUAUCGAUAAUUAGCAAACUAGAACCUACAAGGUCAUCUCAGUAUGAAUUUCAUAUAUGCUGACAGAAGGACCUAUAUCACACAUAAGGAAUGAAGCACUUCUCUCAUUCAGGUCAGGUGUGCACGGAAUCAGGAAUUCUCACUAUGUAACUGGAAGAGUUUGCAAGCAUAGUAAUUUUCAGCGUAUCUCUGUAUCUGAACGAUUUUUAUAUUAAUUGAAGUCCACAAGCGGCUAGAAAGAGUGCUGACUUCACAAUUACCUGAUGGAUGAUUCAUAUAGCGACCGUGAGGCCUCUCAUCCCCAUACCCACCUCUGCUUCCUGAGCCACCUCGAUCGUACCCACCACCAUAAUCAUAACCAUACCUGGAAUUAUAAGCAAAUAGCAUCAACUUAACAGAGCCAUUAAACAGGCAAUCCCACUAUAGAUGAAAAAAAUUGUUCUCGCUGGAGUUCAUAUUUUGAUAUUGAAGGACCAGAUUUCUUGCCCACCUUCUGCCAUCCGGUCCAUAACCCCCUCUCGGGCUACCUCGGCGCCGCUCAUAUCCACCAUCAUCCCUCCUUGCUCGCUUAAAGGAUCCGGGGGGAGGGGAUCGGCGAGGAGGCGAAUGCCGUCGGUCACGGUACGGUGGCGGGCUACGACUACCCCUCCUGCGAUACUCCCGAUCCCUGUCGUCCCGCGGCUGCCCCAGCGGCGGGGGCGGGGGAAGCGACGGCGAGCGGGCCCUAUAUUCGUCCCUCUUCUCCGUCAUAUCCCUGUCCCGCCUCUUCGGAGGCCGGGCCGGCGAUGAGGGGGAUCCGCCGCCGUGGCUCUCCUGCCGCUGCGGCUGGAUAUCAAGGCCACGAUCAAGGGUUUCGGUGGGCAUAUCGAUGACGUCCGCCAUGAAGAUGGUGAUAGAAAAGAUCCAGAAACCGUAGCAAUCGAUCUGAGCGGUAACCCUAGAAAAAACGAGGGGGGAGGAGUUCGGGAUGAAAGAAAUGGUGGAGGAGAUUUAAGCCAAACUCGACACAUGCAUAUAUGACCCCUUAGGUUAUGAAUAUUACAAAUACACUCUUUUAAGUUUUAUAUAUAUAUAUAUAUAUAUAUAUAUAUAUAUAUAUAUAUCAAAUAGUUUUUAAUAUGCUUGAUUUUAUUUAGCUCACUUACCGUAUUUUUUUAAUAACACUAUAAUAUUUUUAUUAAUGUACUGAAAAUAUUUUUGAAGUAGAUUUUAUAAUAUUUUCAAAUAAUUUUUACAGUAUUUUCACCAAACUAUGGACCGUUGGCUCAUAGGGGUGUUUGUGGUGGGAAUAGUACAUUUGCACCACAGUGAGAGAUAUUUGAGGUAUUAUCUGAAACAGGAGAAUCGAAAAUUGAAAAUAGGUCAUCUUAUUAGGAAAAAAAAGGCAAAAAUGAGAACUUAAAUCAUUAAUAACGCUUGGCUUAAACCUGCUUCCACUGGAGAGCUUAAACAUGAAAAUUAAUCGGAUUUACUAAGUGGUAAUGUAACCGUAACAAUUAAUAAUGCUUAGCUUAAACCGGCCACUAGUGUGAGCAUGGCAGUAAUAUAUCAUUACUUUAACAUAAUUCUUUAUAUAUUACAUAAUUAAUGAACUAUUGUGAACAUCUUAAUGAGAAAGAUGUUUAACUAUUUCAUUUUUAUGUUCUUAAAUUCCAAAUUUGACAAGCAUAUACAAAUCCCACUUAAAUAUAAUCAUAAACGAGAUGCAACUUGUGAGUAAUUCUAUUAUUAUUAUUAUUUCCUAUGCUUUGAUGUUUAUGUUUGAGGAAGUUACCGAUAAACAAUAAAUAUACCGGGGGCUAAUUAAAAAUUAUUAUUAUCUCAUGUAUUUAAACCUUAUAGUAUCUCGGUAUUUAAACUUUAAAUUUUUUUUAUUAAAAUCUUUAUAAUUAUUAAAGUAAAAUAUUUAAUCAUAUUUACUAAAAUAUCGUUCAGCUUUACCGACGAAAGAGAUAGCAUGUGUAAAAAUGAUACGAAAAUGAUAGAUUAAAAAAAUAAUUUCAACGUCCUAGUUAUGUUUUAUUUUGUUAUGCCCUAAUUAAAACUUCUUAGUUAAUUAUUGUGAUAAUGGUGGACGACGAUGCUGCCAAGGGUCGUGGGUAAUUAUUGUGGUGAUAGUUGAUCUUGUUGAUAUUGAUUCGAAUAUCAAUGAUCAAAGCGAGAGCAGUGAGACAGUUUGAUGAUGAUAGUGGUGGAUCUUAGGAAUAUGAGAAAGAAGAUGAAAGAGAGCGAUAACGAGAGAUAAGACAAACAGAGAGGAGAAAAAGGAUAAGGUUGAUAAUGUCACAAGAGAUAGCAUCGGCAUGACUAUUGUCCUCAUGACAUUAUCAUCACACAAGAGAGGGGGAGGAAGAGGAGGGUGAGCAGCAACAAUGCUAUCUCUGGCUUUUGUAGUUUUUUACGGGGGGAGGAGGAGGAAAGGGAGAGAGAUUGCGAUAACAUUAUCUCCAACUUCAACAGUUUCUUACGAGGGGUGUAUGAGGAAGAGGAAGGAGAGUGAUAACGAGAAAAGAGGUAAAGGAAGAGGAGAUAGCUACUCUCCCUCCUCUUCUUCCUCCCACCACAAGAGGAGGGAGAGUGAUUAUGGGAGAUGAGGUAAAGAGAAAGGAGGAAGAGAAUUAGGAUGAUAGUGUCACAAGAGAUAGUAUUAGUGUAAUCAUCAUCCUUGUGACAUUAUCAUCCCACAGAUGGAGGAGGAGGAAGAGGAGGGACUGCAACGACAACACUAUCUCCAGCUUUUAUGGCUUCUUGCGAAAGGAAGAGGAGGUAGAGUAGCUAUCUUCUCUCUCUUUGUCUCACCUCCCGUCAUCGCUCUCCCUAUUCUUCCUCUUCCUCUCCCGACAAAAAAUUGCAGAAGCCGAAGGUAGCAUCGUCGUCGCUCUCUCUCCUCUUGUUGGGCAAGGAGGAAGAGCUGCUAUCUUCUCUCCCUUUGCCUCACCUCUCGUUGUCGCUCUCCAUCAUCUUCUUUCUCCUCCCCUCGCAAAAAGCUACAAAAGCCAAAGAUAGCAUCUCCAUUGCUCUCCCUCCUCUUGCGAGGGUAGGAGGAAGAGAAGGGAGAGCAGUUGUCUCAUCUCCUUUUGCCUUACCUCUCGCCAUCACUCUCUCUCCUCCUCUCCCCAUCGUCGUUGCUCACCCUCCUCUUCCUCCUCUCUUAUGGGAUAAUAGUGUCACAAGGAUGAUGGCUGCACCGAUGCUAUCUCUCAUAACAUAUUAUCCAUGUCCUCUUCCUCUUCUUAUUUUGUCUCACCUCCCGUCAUCGUUUUCUUUCUUCUUCAUUCUCACGUCUCCAAGAUCCACCACAAUCACCAUCAAACUACUAUCAUUGUCAUGAUCGUCACUCUCAUCUCACGGAGUCAUAGAUGUUUGAAUCAAUAUCAACAAGAUCAACCACCAUCACAAUAGUCACCUAUGAUCCUUAAUAACGUCACCAUCUGUCAUAAUUACGAUAAUCAAUUUGUCAUAAUUAGGAUAAUCAACUAAGAAGUUUUAAUUAUGAUAUAAUAAAAGUAAAUAUAACUAGGAUGUUGAAAUUAUUUUUUUACUUAUUAUUUUGUAUCAUUUGGUUGUAAUAAAAUCGAUGAUAUUAGGAUAAACAAUAUUAAAUAUUUCACAAAAAUGUCAAUAUGAAUGUUUUUUAACACGCUGUUUUGCCUCACGCCCAGCAGUGGCUCCCACAGCGGAGCGGAGGGGUCCCAUCUUACGGGAAGACAUGAGAUUAAAUGACAGGCAAUCUGUAAUUAGCCCCAUGUAACGAAGGGUUCAAAAAUUUACUCGCCCAUUGGCGGUGGCUCCCACAGCGGAAGGGUCCCAUUUUAGGGGAAGACAUAAGAUUAAAUGGCUGAACCGUGACCGGAAGGUGACAGGUGAUCCAGAAAUUUUUUUUCCAGCUGCUGCUUUUGCCUCACGCGGACGGGCCUCGGGCAAUUGACCCCAUCACGCGGCCUCAGAGCACCGACGACCAUUCUCCCCCGCUUGCGCUUUCUAAAAAUACAUAUGGAGAGUCCACCCUUACCUGGAUCCUGUCCCGACUCUUUGAUCUCCCGUCUGCCAAGCUUGUGAAAAACUUCAGAUGUGAGUCUGACCUCCACGAAGCAUACACCUGCAAACCUGUGAAACCUCGGCAAGCUCUUAUCUGAAAAGCCAUGAACAAGCUCUUUACCAUGUCUGCGUGAGUAGUAAUCGAUCAUACCAAUCCUAAAUGUUUCAGAUCAAGUGCCAUGAACCCCAUUUCUGAUUUCGAAAAAGGUCCUACCAAGAUCAUGUUCUCAUAAACCAUUUUACAGCAUAUCGGAACUGAAACAAAUUCUUUAUUUUGGAGAAAAGCAGAUACAUCUUCCAGAUCCCUAUUUCUCAUCACUCUAGUCACAGACAAAGGAAUCUUCAUUUAUCGUGCCACGCUGGGUCAUAGACGACACCGGUGAUGGAAAUGCAGAGUGCUCAGCUUUUACCAAGGCGACCUCGAUUUGAUUUGUAGCCCUUAAUAAUCUUCUGCAGUGCUCUUUUGGCUUCCUCCAGAGUCUCGAUCGAGUGUUCCACCUCGAACGAUAGUCGUUGAAUAUUGAACUGUAUGGUCAAGAUAAGGUCUACGAAGAUUAUGGAACAUAAAGAAAACAAUAUACAUUAAAAAACAUCGGCAUAUUGUGUAGCCAAAAAGAGUUGGACAACCCAAUCAGUUUAUUUUGAUUGACAGAUAAACAAACUCUUUUUCAGAAACUGUCUAUUGGAGACUACCAGCAUUUAUAAUGACACCACUCUCAGACUAUCUUCCAGGAUUAUAUUUGCAAGCAAAUAACAACCAGUUCCACUAGCAAACCAGAAAAGAAAAAAUUGUAAAAUAACACUUCAUAGCUCUUAGCCUUACUAGUUAGCCAACCUUACUUUGAGGCCCAUUCACACAUUUCAAUCAAAUCUACAUCCUAUGCUAAGAUCAAGAGAAUGACUAUCUUUCUCCUAAACGGCAUAAUAAGGUUUAAUAUCUUGGCCCAAUAUUAGUUUCGACACCUUAUCGGCUGAUGGGGUACUGAUGUAUUAAGUGGUAACAACCUGUACCACUAGUUAUGGCUGAAAACAAAUAAAAUAAAAAAGAAUGCCGAUUGGUACCAAUACCAAGUACAGGUCCUUGGUUGAAUUAAUAAUACUUGAGUGGUAUUUAAAACACUGCAAGCCAACCAUAAUAUGAAAAAUUUCUAAUCCAAAUAUGAGACUCAUAAUCCACCAAUUUUCGGUGUUAUAUAUUUGCUAUGCUUUGUCAAACUAUCUAUAGUAUCAUAUAGAAAAGUGGAUCACAUCAUUUAAAAUUUUAUAUAUAUUAAAAAAAAGCACAAUCCUUAUUAAGCAACCUGACAUACUAUAAAACCAUCCACUUAAAUUAUUUCUCAUUUCUGGUGUUUCCCUUCCGAAACUCAAAAAUUUCUUUACAUAUCCACCAUCUUAUUCUCUAAUAAUGUUGCACACAGAUAAAUGGGGACUUAAAGCUAAUAUAUAAAACAGUUCAUUCUAAAAUUCACUACUUUGAAGUACAUAGAAACACAAAUUAGACUCCUCUAUUAAACAUAUGUAAACUAAUCCAAACCCUAGAACUAUCCAUAUUCUCAGUACCCCUCUCAAUCAAUGACAACAUUCACAUAUGUGCACACUUUUGGGAGGAGAAACCUGGAUAUCCCUCAGUGAUCAAAGUCAAUAAUUUUUCAAUAAUUUAUGAUUUUAUCCCAACCCCUUAUCUGCAUACAACCCCUUCAAUUUAUCAAGACAAAAGCCUUUCAGUUGACUAUAACACUAGCCUUUAAUUCCUUUCAUAACCUAGACCAUAGUUCUGAUUUUUGACAUUCCUAAACAAAAUUCAGCCCAUGUUCAUCAAUUAUAAUACCGAGUUCCUCUCUAACUUUUUCCCCUACUUUGAAGCCCCUUCACCAAAAAAAAAGACACACACACACAUACAUAUGUAUGUAUGUGUGUAUAGACAGUGAGAUUGGCAAAUAUUGAAUUACUAGACGGCUUAAGCCCAACAGAGUUUUCUGUAAUGAAGUUCCUAAGGUUCAAUACAUCCCUGACUACAAGAUUAUCAAAAAGAAUUUCUCCUUGGCUGGAUCAACUAACAUCCUUCAUUGAGUUUUAAAUAAGUCAUAUAUACAUGAAGGACAAUCAAAUAACUUACAACAAUAAUAGUUCUGGAAAUUUUAAAUGCAAC
This 52257-nucleotide long non-coding RNA is filed under the name Musa acuminata (dwarf banana). Its description in RNAcentral is "long non-coding RNA (MACU_LNC004121)". The record is from RNAcentral. Lineage: Eukaryota; Viridiplantae; Streptophyta; Magnoliopsida; Zingiberales; Musaceae.